UUUUUUGUAGUUUUUAUUUUAUAAACUAAACUAGUGCUAAAACAAGAAACAAAAAAGAUUCGAUUGCAAGAUCUAAAGAUAUACCUUCAAGCACUCACCUCCCCGGCAACAGCGCCAGAAAAGAGCUUGAUGUCUACUACACAACCUUCUUCUUGUAGACAUUGUUGGGUCUCCAAGUGCAGAGGUUUGUAGGAUAGUAGCAAAUUUCCCUCAAGUGGAUAACCUAAGAUUUAUCAAUCCGUGGGAGGCGUAGGAUGAAGAUGGUCUCUCUCAAGCAACCCUGCAACAAAAUAACAAAGAGUCUCUUGUGUCCCCAACACACCCAAUACAAUGGUAAAUUGUAUAGGUGCACUAGUUCGGCAAAGAGAUGGUGAUACAAGUGCAAUAUGGAUGAUAGAUAUAGGUUUUUGUAAUCUGAAAAUAUAAAAACAGCAAGGUAACUAAUGAUAAAAGUGAGCGCAAACGGUAUUCCAAUGCUAGGAAACAAGGCCUAGGGUUCAUACUUUCACUAGUGCAAGUUCUCUCAACAGUAAUAACAUAAUUGGAUCAUAUAGCUAUCCCUCAACAUGCAACAGAGAGUCACUCCAAAGUCACUAAUAGCGGAGAACAAACGAAGAGAUUAUUGUAGGGUAUGAAACCACCUCAAAGUUAUCCUUUCUGGUUGAUCUAUUCAAGAGUCCAUAGUAAAAUAACAUGAAGCUAUUCUUUCCGUUCAAUCUAUCAUAGAGUUCGUACUAGAAUAACACCUUAAGACACAAAUCAACCAAAACCCUAAUGUCACCUAGAUGCUCCAAUGUCACCUCAAGUAUCCUUGGGUAUGAUUAUAUGAUAUGCAUCACACAAUCUCGGAUUCAUCUAUUCAAACAACACAAAGUGCUUCAAAGAGUGCCCCAAAGAUUCUACCGGAGAGUCAAGACGAAAACGUGUGCCAACCCCUAUGCAUAGGUUCAUGGGCGGAACCUGCAAGUUGAUCACCAAAACAUACAUCAAGUGGAUCAAUAGAAUACCUCAUUGUCACCACGGGUAUCCCACGCAAGACAUACAUCAAGUGUUCUCAAAUCCUUAAAGACUCAAUCCAAUAAGAUAACUUCAAAGGGAAAACUCAAUCCUUUACAAGAGAGUAGAGGGGGAGAAACAUCAUAAAAUCCAACUAUAAUAGCAAAGCUCGCGAUACAUCAAGAUCGUACCACCUCAAGAACACGAGAGAGAGAGAAGAGAGAGAGAGAGAGAGAGAGAGAGAUCAAACACAUAGCUACUGGUACAUACCCUCAGCCCCGAGGGAGAACUACUCCCUCCUCGUCAUGGAGAGCACCGGGAUGAUGAAGAUGGCCACCGGAGAGGGAUUCCCCCUCCGGCAGGGUGCCGGAACUGGUCUAGAUUGGUUUUUGGUGGCUAUGGAGGCUUCUGGCAGCGGAACUCCCGAUCUAUUGUGCUCCCCGAAGUUUUUAGGGUAUAUGGAUAUAUAUAGGAGGAAGAAGGACGUUGGUGGAUCUCCGGGCUAUCCAUGAGACAGGGGGGCGCGCCCCCCACCCUCGUGGGCAGCCAGGGACUCUCCUGGUCCAUCUCUGAUACUCCGUGGGCUUCUUUUGGUCCAAAAAUAAGUUCCGUGAAGUUUCAUGUCAAUUGGACUCCGUUUGAUUUUCCUUUUCUGCGAUACUCUAAAACAAGAAAAAAAACAAAAACUGGCACUGGGCUCUAUGUUAAUAGGUUAGUCCCAAAAAUCAUAUAAAAUAGCAUAUAAAUGCAUAUAAAACAUCCAAAGUUGAUAAUAUAAUAGCAUGGAACAAUCAAAAAUUAUAGAUAAGUUGGAGACGUAUCAGUGCCCCUGACCUUUCUCAUCCUUGUGACGUGUGUCACCCACGUACAGAGAGGUGGAGAUCGUGAGAGAUCAUGGGUGAAUAGAUAAGUAUUAUCGUGGGAUGUGGAACGGUUUAGGCGGUAACAGCCGAAAAUUCAGAUUAGAAUAUUUUAAAGUUUCGUUCACAGAUUCUUCAGCUAACAAGGACACAGUGAAUAUUUUGAACGGGUUUCAAAUAGAACGCACAUGAAGAAUUUGUGAACAGACUGGGUUGAGUAUAGCAUAGAGGGGGAAGAGUCCGAUCACAUUCACUUAGCAAAAAGAUCAACUUGAAGAAAUAGCUAUAAGUGAAUGUUGUAGAGGACAUAAACUCAUAUAUAAUAUGUAUAGUCAAUGAAGAAAAAUGACGGAUAGAGUGAAGACAUUGCAAAGUUGAAGAAAUCAACUGAGGAAUUUCAAGACUGAAGAAAAACUCAAAUUGAAGAUUUUCAACUUUUGUUGGUGGCGUGACCCACCGUAUAAGAAUGCUGAUUUCAGACGUCAUGUACAAUUGUCGUAGGGCUCUGAGUAUCAAAUUCCUCAUUAAUUUCUUCACACUUAGAGGGUUAGUCUUCAUUAAUUGAAGAAAAACGUUACUUCAUGUGUUGCACAUCUAAGUCAUCAAUUUGCAUAAGUGUUAGGAUGUGUGUCCUUUUCAAAGGACAUUCGAAGAUUCUAAGAUAUUUACCUCACACCGCAACUUGCUAAAUAUCUUCUCAUCCAAGGGAUUUGUGAAGAUAUCGGCUAGCUGUUCUUCAGUCUUCACAUGCUCGAUGGAGAUAUCGCCCUUCAACACAUGAUCAUGAAGAAAAUGAUGACCAAUCUGAAUGUGCUUUGUCUUCGAGUGUUGAACUGGGUUAUGAGCAAUCUUGAUAGCACUCUCAUUGUCACAAUAGAGUGGCACAUUCUUCACAUUGAGGUCGUAGUCCUUGAGGGUUUGCUUCAUCCAUGGCAAUUGAGCAUAGCACGAACCAGCAGCAAUGUACUCAGCUUCAGUAGUAGAAAGUGAUAUGCAGUUUUGUUUCUUCGAAGACCAACAGACCAAGGAUCGUCCGAGGAAAUGGCAUGUGUCUGAUGUUGACUUGCGGUCCACAUGAUCACCAGCAUAGUCAGAAUCUGAAUAUCCAAUGAGAUCAAAAGCCGAGCCCUUGGGAUACCAUAUUCCAAGUGUUGGAGUGUGAGCUAGAUGUCAAAGGAUAUGCUUCACAGCCUUAUGGUGUGAUUCCUUCGGUGUAGCUUGAAAAUGGGCACAGACGCAAACACUAAGCAUAAUAUCUGGCCUAGAUGCACAUAAAUACAAUAAAGAGACAAUCAUGGAGCGGUAUACCAUUUGAUCAAAGUUAAUACCAUUUUCAUCAGUGCAUAGAUGGACAUUUGUGGGCAUAGGGAUUUUGACACCUUUGCAAUCUUGCAUGCCGAAUUUCCUCAAUACAUCCUUGAGAUAUUUCUCCUGAGUUAUGAAGAUGUUGUUUUGUUGUUGAUGAAUUUGAAGACCAAAGAAGAAUUUCAAUUCUCCCAUCAUAGACAUUUGAUAUUCUUCACUCAUCAUAUAGGAAAAUUCAUCACUGUAACGUUGGUCAGUACAACCAAAAUGAUAUUAUCAACAUAUAUUUGGCACACGAAUAAUUCAUCAUCAUAAGCUUUGGUGAAGAGAGUUGGGUCAAGUGAACCGGGUUUGAAGCCUUUCUUCAUGAGGAAUUCCUUCAAAAUAUCAUACCACGCCCGAGAGGCCUGCUUGAGGCCAUAGAGGGUGUUACUGAGUCUGAAGACUUUGUCAAGAUGCUUUGGAUCCUCAAAACAUGGGGGUUGAGCAACAUAUACUUCUUCCUCAUGCUUACCAUUGCGGAAUGCACUUUUCACAUCCAUUCGAUAUAAGAUGAUAUUAUGAUGGUUAGCAUAAGCAAGUAAUAUGUGAAUAGCUUCAAGUCUAGCAACAGGUGCAAAAGUUUCAUUGAAAUCAAUUCCUUCAACCUGUGUGUAGCCUUGAGCUACAAGUCGUGCCUUAUUCCUCACCACAAGGCCAUUUUCAUCUUGCUUGUUACGGUAGAUCCAUUUGGUGCCGAUGAUAUUGUGCUUGCAAGGGUCUGGUCGCUUGACAAGUUCCCAGACAUUGUUGAGCUCGAACUAAUGUAAUUCUUCUUGCAUAGCUUGAAUCCACUCAGGCUCCAUAAAUGCUUCAUCUACCUUAGUGGGCUCUGUGAUAGAUAUGAAAGCAAAGUGCACACAAAAGUUAGACAAAUGUGAAGCUUUUGAGCAUGUGAGAGGACCUGGUGCUUUGAUGUCGUUGAUGGUUCUCUCAAUCUGCACUUCAUUAGCAACGCGAGGAUGAGCUGGUUGACGAUGAGGAAUUUUCUCAUCAUUUUCAUCAGAGACAUUUUCUUCAGGUGCACCAGCAUGAUGUUCUUCACGUUCUGGAAUGGCUUCUUCAGCAGAUUCUUUGGUAGGAAUGACAUCCUCAGUAGCCUUGAACUUAAUGGAUUCCUUAGGUGGUAUUUCAUCUAGCACAUGAGGUAGGUGCUCUAUUUGCGAGACAUUAGUUUCAUCAAACCGCACAUCUAUAGUUUCAACAACCUUCUGGUGAUAGGUGUUGAAGACUCUGUAGGUGUGCGAUUCCUUACCAUAACCAAGCAUAAAACCUUCAUGUGCUUUCGGUGCAAAUUUAGAAUUGUGAUGAGGAUCUCUAAUCCAACAUUUAGCACCGAAGACUUUGAAAUAACUCACAUUGGGUUUCUUGUCCGUGAGGAGUUCAUAUGAGGUCUUUCUGAAGAAUUUAUGAAGAUAUACCCUGUUGAUGAUGUGGCACGCAGUAUCAAUUGCCUCAGACCAGAAACGAGAAGGCGUCUUGUACUCAUCAAGCAUAGUGUAAGCCAUCUCAACAAGAGUCAUGUUCUUGUGCUCCACGACGUCAUUCUGCUGAGGAGUAUAAGGAGCAGAUAACUCAUGAGUAAUACCAAGUUCAUCAAGAUAGUCAUCAAGACCAGUAUUCUUGAACUCGGUCCCAUUGUCACUUCUAAUGUGCUUGAUCUUCACAUCGAAGUUUGUUGAAGCCCUCGAGGAAAAUCGUUUGAAGACUUCCUGCACUUCAGUUUUGUAAGUGAUGAUAUGCACCCAUGUAUAACGAGAAUAGUCAUCAACAAUGACAAAGCCAUAUAAAGAUGCAACAUUAGUAAAUGUGGCAUAAUGAGUAGGGCCAAAGAGAUCCAUGCGAAGCAAUUCAAUGGACGAGUGGUAGUCAUGAUGGUCUUUGAGGGAUGUUUGGCCUUGGUCAUCUUUCCGGCUUCACAAGCUCCACACAAAUGGUCCUUGAGGAAUUUGACACCCUCGAUGCCAAUGACAGGCUUCUUCUUCACGAGCGUGUGCAAGUUCCUCAUACCAGCAUGACCAAGUCGUCGAUGCCAUAGCCAGCCUUCUGAAGCUUUUGCAAGUAGACAUGUGGCAGGUUGUGGUCCUAUAGAGAAAUCAACAAUAUACAAAUCUCCUCUCCUAAAGCCUUCGAAUACUUUGGAAUUCUCUGCUUCCAUGAUCACAACACAACGGUACUUGCCAAGAUCACAAAGCAUUGAGACCGACAUGAGGUUGAACCCUAAGGUCUCAACAAGCAUGACUUUGUCCAUGUGUCGAUCCUUUGAGAUUGCAACCUUACCUAGACCCAAUACCUUGCUUUUGCCUUUGUCAGCGUAGGUGAUAUGCUUUAGAUGCGAUGGAGAUAAAGCAAUGUCCAUCAAUAAGCUCAUGUCACCAGUCAUGUGAUUUGUACAUCCACUAUCGAGGACCCACUCAGUGGCUUUGGGUUGAUCAUCUUGCAGAUGAAUUAGUGCAGCUUAUGAACUCAUAUACUUCAUCUGUGAAGAAUAUGAUAUCAAAUUCAUCAGAUCAAUUUCAUCAAGCGAUAGAACAGGUAAAGUAGUAUGAGGACUUUAGAAAUGAAAAUUCAUUUCUUCAUGAUUAGCUUGCGUCCUUUCAAGUAUAUUUAGGUCUCCAGCAAAUUCUUCAGACGUUUAGGUUCGUCUGGAGACUUGACCCUGCAUAAGAGAUUAGUUCUUUUUCUUCACCACCCACAUAUGAAGUGGUGGUAAAGAGUUCAUUAUUCCACGAGCUCCAUAAGAGAAAGGUGGCAUAGAUGCCAAUCCACUUCGUUUCACAUAAGAGGGGUUAGGGUAAGCAUAUGAGUAAGCAAAGAAAUUCUUCGAGGAUUUAUGAACAUAAUGAUUUGAAGAAUAAUGACACAUAGCCAUAACCCUUAGCCUUUCCCUGCGAAAUAGAGGUGUUAGCACGAUGAUGUUCAUAUGAGGACUUUGAUCCAUGUGAGGAAUGUGGUCCAUAUGAGGACUUGGAUCCAUAUGAAGACUUUGGUCCAUAUGAAGAAUUUGAUCUGGGGUUCCUUUUAUUCACAUGUGGUGUCAUGAUGACAUUCACCUAAAGACUUUCAAGGCACCUUUUGGAAACCCAGAUUUUCUUCAUAGGAGGACCGUUCCUGCAGUUAGUGCCAACAUAUCUAGCAAAUACUUCACCAUUCUGAUUUUGAAUAGUUUAUAAUUGGAGUCAAAUGACUCAUUAGAAGAAUAUGAAGAUUCACAUGUAAAGCUAGAUAAAGUAGAUGGAUCCAUUGAAGGUCCCGUUGCAGCAACCCAUGAGGUUUUGGGAUAUUGCUCAGGCUUCUAGUAGGUCCCAUCAGCAUUGAGUUUUCUCUCAAAGGCAAUACCCUCUUUUCUAGGGUUCCUGUUGAGGAUCUGCUUCUUAAGCACAUCACAAAGAGCCUGAUGCCCUUUGAGGCUUUUGUACAUGCCUGUCACAUACAAUUCCUUCAGCCCUACAUGGUCAGUCAUACUAGCAGCAUCCUCAGAUGAGGAAUUAGUGACAGCAUAGUCAGGUGAAGAAUUUGCAGCAAUAGAAGCAUUUGAACUUUCAGGUGAAGAAUUAGCAGAUUCACGUUCAAUGCACUUCAAACAUGGAGGAAUAAAUUCUUCCUAAGUAGCGCUGAUUUGUUGAGAAAGUAAUGAAUCACGCUCCUUUUGAAGAUCUUCAUAACUUACUCUUAACUUCUCAAGAUCUUGCUUUCUCUGAAGAAAUUCAUAAGAAAGCUUCUCAUGAUCAGAUAAGAGUGUUAUGAUGACUCUGAAGAUUAUCAAACUUAGUUUGAAGUCUCUGAAGAUUUUCAGUCAAAGUUUUAGUGCGAUCCAUUUCUUCACCCAACAUAUCAUUGCUUUUGUCUAGCAUAUUUUGAACCUUUUCAAGAGCCUUUUGUUGUUUCACAGCAAUCUUAGCAAGUUUAGAAUAGCUAGGCUUGAGGUUUUCAUCAGAUUCAUCCUCACUUGAUUCAGAGGAGGGAUAUUUGAGUACCUUUGCACCUUUUGCCAUGAAGCAAUAGGUGGGAGCGUAGUCAUCAUCAUCAUCGUCAGUGGUGUUGGGGAGGUCCUUUUCCUCAGAGUUGAAGAUGGACUUGUUGAUGAAUGCAGCAGCGAGGGCUAGGCUCUCCACACCAAAGUCUGACUCCUCAGAUGCCUCCUCUUCCUCAUUUUCCUCAAAUUCAGCCUCAGAGUCCAUUUCCUUGCCAAUGAAUGCCCGAGCCUUCUUGGAGCUGCUCUUCUUGUGAGAUGAAGACCUUGAAGGUUUUGAUGAAGAGGACUUUGAAGAUUUCUUCUUCUUCUUUGAAUCAUCAGAACUGUAGUCCUUGUACUUCUUCUUCUUUGAUUCCUUUUCCCACUGAGGACAAUCUUGAAUGUACUGACCGGGUUUCUUGCAUUUGUGGCAAAGUCUCUUCUUGUAAUCACGGGAUGGGGAAUCUAAUCUUAAGUCAUCACUUCUUGAGGAUUUUCCAAAACGACCACGUCUUGAGAACUUCUGAAAUUUCCUCACGAGCAUUGCUAGCUCUUGUCUUAGUUCUUCAGGAUCACCAAGGCUGCUACCAGAAUCUUCACCUUCAGAUUCAGACACUGCCUUGGCCUUUAGAGCUCGUGAUCUUCCAUAGCUCGAUCCAUAGAGAUCUCUCUUCUCGGCAAGCUGGAACUCAUGAGUGUUUAGCCUCUCGAGGAUAUCAGCGGGAUCAAGUGACUUCUAGUCUCCAUGUUCUUGUAUCAUCAUUGCAAGGGUGUCAAAUGAGGAAUCAAGCGAUCAAAGCAAUUUCUUCACCACCUCGUCGUAGGUGAUGUCAGAGGCACCAAGUGCUUGAAGCUCAUUUGAAAUGCCAGUGAGGUGAUUGAAGGUUUGCUGAACAUUUUCAUUGUCAAGUCUUUUGAAGAGGUUGAAGAGAUUGCGAAGAACGUCUACUCAAGAUUCACGCUGUGUUGAGACUCCUUCAUUGACCUUGGACAGCCUGUCCCAGGUAAGCUUUGUUGUCUCCAAAGCACUCACUCUGCCAUACUACCCUUUGCUCAGAUGGCCACAUAUGAUGUUCUUUUCUUGAGAGUCGAGUUGCUUGAAUCUCUUCACAUCAUCAGCAUUGAUGGUAGGAGUGAUAGAGGGAAUGCCAUUUUCCACAACGUACUAGAGAUCGUUGUCAAUUGCCUCAAGAUGCAUUCGCAUCUUAUUAUUCCAGUAGGGGUAGUCUUUCCCAUCGAAGGUAGGAAACCCAGCAGAGACCUUGCUCAUACCCGUAGUCGACAUAACUAAAACUCCAGGCGGUUAAACCAAAAUCACAUAGAACAAGGGAGUACCUUGCUCUGAUACCAAUUAAAAGUGCGUUAAGUCGACUAGAGGGGGGAGGGGUGAAUAAGCGAUUUUUGUGAAUUCUUCCCUAAGGAAUUUCAGGGUGAGGAAAUUCCUAAGUGAAGAACUACUUGCAGCGGAAUAAGUACUCAGAUGCAGACAUGACAUAACAUAAGUAUGGACAUCAUGAUGAAUGGAAAACAAACACAGAGUACAGAAAGCGUAAGCACAUGAUAAAACAGAAUGAAGACAAACAGACUGGAGAAAAUGAACUGAGGAAACUGAGAAUGUCUUCAGUCAAAGUAUUCAAACAGAUAUGAACAGGUACACAACACAGUAAUGAAGAACUGAAAGGGUUGAGGAAAUAGAACCAGCUAGCUCGAUGAAGACAGAGAUUUGGUAGACCAGUUCCAACUGCUGGGACAGUUGUACGUCUGGUUAGAGUGGCUAGGUAUUUAAACCUGAGGACACACAGUCCUCACCAUAUUCUCCUUGAACUAAGGUCACACAGACCUCAUCCAAUCACUCGUGGUAAGUCUUCAGGUGACUUCCCAACCUUCACAAACUCGGUCACCCGGCGAUCCACAAUUUCCUCUUGGAUGCUCUAGACCUUGACACCUAACUGUCUGGAGGAUGCACCGUCCUCAAAGGUAACAAGCAUCGGUUCCACACAGGAACAAUCUCUUCAGUGAUGCUCAAUCACUUUGGGUUUGUAGGUGUUUGGGUUUGGUUUUUUGGUUUUUCCUCACUUGAUGAUUUUCGCUCAAAGUCCUAGAAGGAUGGGAUGCUCUUAAUGACAAGUGUCAGUUUCUCGCGGAGCAGCCAACCAGCUAGUGGUUGUAGGGGGCGGCUAUUUAUAGCCAGGGAGCAGCCCGACAUGAUAAGACAUAAAUGCCCUUCAAUGAUAUGACUGUUAGGUGGGUAGAUAUUUUGGGACAGCUGGCGCGUAGCACAACAACGGGCGGAAAUUUUAGGCUCAAAUUCCUCAGGGCUAUCAUGUUCCUCACUUGUAGGAAAUCCGCACUGGCGAAUUCCUAACUCCUCAGUCAGGACAAAUUCCUCAGAGACCAGAAGAACUACGUCUCUAUCACUUAAGAAAUUGACUGAACUGUAUGAGAUUUCCAAUGGCUUCACUCGAAGGGAUUGGUAGGUGUAGGAUUUUGAGUUGAGCAUCACCUGGAAACUUUUCCUUAGUUUUACCUCGACCCCCUUCAACAGUACGGUGUUUCCUAUGACGCAAGAAAGAGAAAAUGAAAAUACGAAAACAAAAUUCUUCACACUUCAUGUUCCUCACAUGAAUAUCAAGUCUUCACGGUCACACCAAUUUCUUCACUUUCGGAGUCUUUAGAAAGUCUUCAAAAAUCCAAAGUCUUCAGUUGAAGACAUUCAUUAUUAGGGGUCGACUUUCUCUGUAAAUAUCAAACUCCUCAUAGACUUAUAGACCUGUGUACACUCACAAACGCAUCAGUCUCUUAACCUAUAACUCUUCAAUACACCAAAAUCACUAAGGGGCACUAGAUGCACUUACAUGCUUACCAGCAACGUCUUACUUUGAUUCGGUGGUAUUGUUGGAUGAAGCGGCCCAGACGGACAUUACAUGACCGCGUUCAUGAGACUGGUUCUACCGACGUGCUUCGCACACAGGUGGCUAGUGGGUGUCUGUUUCUCCAAGUUUAGUUGAAUCGAGUUUGACUACGCCCGAUCCUUGUUGAAGGUUAAAACAGCACACUUGACGAAAAAUCGUUGUGGUUUUGAUGCGUAGGUAAGAACGGUUCUUGCUAGAAGCUCGUAGCAGCCACAUAAAACUUGCAACAACAAAGUAGAGGACGCCUAACUUGUUUUUGCAGGGCAUGUUGUGAUGUGAUAUGGUCAAGACGUGAUGAUAUAAAUUGUUGUAUGAGAUGAUCAUGUUUUGUAAUAGUUAUCGGCAACUGGCAGGAGCCACAUGGUUGUCGCUUUAUUGUAUGAAAUGCAAUUUCCAUGUAAUUGCUUUACUUUAUCACUAAGCGGUAGCGACAGUCGUAGAAGCAACAGUUGGCGAGACGGCAAUGAUGCUACGAUGGAGAUCAAGGUGUCUAGCUGGUGACGAUGGUGAUCAUGACGGUGCUUUGGAGAUGAAGAUCAAAGGCACAAGAUGAUGAUGAUGACCAUAUCAUAUCACUUAUUUUGAUUGCAUGUGAUGUUUAUCCUUUAUGCAUCUUAUUUUGCUUAGUACGGCGGUAGCAUUAUAAGAUGACCCCUCACUAAAUUUCAAGGUACAAGUGUUCUCCCUGAGUAUGCACCAUUGCUACAGUUCUUCGUGCCGAGACACCACGUUAUGAUCGCGUGUGAUAAGCUCUACGUUCACAUACAACGGGUGCAAGCUAGUUUUGCACACGCAGGAUACUCGGGUUAAACUUGACGAGCCUAGCAUAUGCAGAUAUGGCCUCGGAACACUGAGACCGAAAGGUCAAGCAUGAAUCAUAUAGUAGAUAUGAUCAACAUAGUGAUGUUCACCAUUGAAAACUACUCCAUCUCACGUGAUGAUCGGACAUGGUUUAGUUGAUAUGGAUCACGUGAUCAUUUAGCUGGCCAGAGGGAUGUCUAUCUAAGUGGGAGUUCUUAAGUAAUAUGAUUAAUUGAACUUUAAUUUAUCAUGAACUUAGUCCUGAUAGUAUUUGCAUAUCUAUUUUGUAGAUCAAUAGCUCGCGUUGUAGCUCCCCUAUGUUUUUGAUAUGUUCCUAGAGAAAACUAAGUUGAAAGAUGAUAUUAGCAAUGAUGCGGACUGGGUCCGUGAUCUGAGGAUUAUCCUCGUUGCUGCAUAGAAGAAUUAGGUCCUUGAUGCACUCCUAGGUGACAGACCUAUUGCGGGAGCAGAUGUAGACAUUAUGAAUGUUUGACAAGCUCAGUAUGAUGACUACUUGAUAGUUUAGUGCACCAUGCUUUACGGCUUAGAAUCGGGACUUAAAAACGUUUUGAACGCCAUGGAGCAUAUAAAAUGUUCCAAGAGCUUCCCCAUGGGUGUUCUUCGUCUCCCCAAAAAAAUAAUUGAGCAAUUGGACAAGAUACGACGGCAUUGCCUCUGGAUCAAGAAAAUAGGUGAUGGAGACAAGUGCAACUCUUUAGCUGCUUGGGACAUGGUUUGUCGCCCUAAGGAGAAAGGUGGUUUGGGCAUUCUUAAUCUCAAAGUCCAAAAUGAUGCUUUGCUGCUCAAACUUCUACACAAAUUCUACAACCAGAUGGACAUACCUUGGGUCAAGUUGAUUUGGGAUACAUAUUUUGUGGACACAAUCCCGCAUGCAUCGCCCCCUUGUGGCUCUCAUUGGUGGCGUGAACUGAUGAAGCCCAUGCCAACAUACAGAGGCGUAACCAAAAUCCAAAUUCGUAGUGGUGAGACUGCCCUAUUUUGGUAAGACGACUGCUGCAACCAUAUCUUCGAAGAAAAAUUUCCUAGGGCCUUCUCCUAUACCUUGAGCGAAGAUACCUCGGUCCAUGGGAUGCUUACUAUAUCCAAAGUCAGUGAAGCCUUUCACCUCCCCCUCUCAACUCAAGCCCAUGAUGAGCUUAAAAAGAUCCAAAGUGAGGUCUCCUCCACCGCACUCUCGGAUGGGAAAGAUAUUUGGAUUUGCACCUGGGGAUCGUCGAUGUUCAAGACUAUGUCAUACUACAAGUUCUGUUUUCGAGAGUUUCAAGUCCACGAGGCAUUUAAAUGGCUCUAGAAAGCAAAAAGUGUCCCCAAGAUCAAAGUCUUGGUUGGUUUCUGCUGGUGGACCGUCUUAACACACACAACAUGCUCAGCAGGAGGCACUGUAACAUUGGGACCAACCUUGACUGUCUGCUUUGUGGUGAACACAUGGAAGAAACCCUUGAGCACCUCUUCUUUCACUCCAACUUUAGCAAACAAUGCUGGCUCAAGCUCAACAUCACGGGAGAUCGGUUUCAUAUGAUGAAACACCUCAAGAUGAGGAAUCAGCGUAAAAUGAUCAUGGACACCUUCCUAGUCGCCACGUGGAGCCUAUGGAAGGAAAGAAAUAAUAAGUACUUUCGGAAAGUGGCCCCUUCGGUUGACAGUUGGCAAGCCAGAUUUAAAAAAGACUUUGCCAACAUUGCUUAUAGACUCCCUGUAGAUAAGAGACAUCUCGUUUCUGCCAUCCUAGCUUAUGUUCCUUAAUUAGAUUAACUUUUUAGCUCUCUGACUAUUCUUUGUAACAGCUUAAGACACUCCCCCACUCCCUUGUACAUUUGUAACAUAUACACCCAUUUUUGGGGCCUUUAAUAUAUCCAUGCAAUAGGACGUGCUCCUACUGUCCAACUUACAAAAAAAGAGAGCUGAAAUUGGUCUUUUAGACUCAUGCCCGAGUCGAGAGGUAUGAGACCUCUGACAAGUAUUUUGCCUACAAGAUGGAGGAGAAUAGCUCAACCAGUGAGCAUGUGCUCAAAAUGUCUGAGUACUACAAUCGCUUGAAUCAAGUGGGAGUUAAUCUUCCAAAUAAGAUAGUGAUUAAUAGAGUUCUCUAGUCACUAUCACCACGUUACUGGAACUUCAUGAUGAACUAUAAUAUGCAAGGGAUGACGAAAACGAUUCCCUGAGCUCUUCGCAAUGUUGUAAUCAGCAAAGGUAGAAAUCAAGAAAAGCAUCAAGUGUUGAUGGUUGACAAGGCCACUAGUUUCAAGUAAAAGGGCAAGGGAAAGAAAGGGAACUUCAAGAAGAAUGGCAAGCAAGUUGCCACUCCCAUGAAGAAGCCCAAAGCUAGACCCAAGCCUGAAACUGAGUGCUUCUACUGCAAAGGAAAUGGUCACUGGAAGCGGAACUACCCCAAAUACUUGGCGGAUAAGAAGGAUGGCAAAGUGAACAAAAGUAUAUAUGAUAUACAUGUUAUUGAUGUGUACUUUACUAGUGUUCAUAGUAGCCCCCGGGUAUUUGAUACUGGUUCAGUUGCUAUGAUUAGUAACUUGAAACAGGAGUUACAAAUGAACAGAGACUAGUUGAGGGCGAGGUGACGAUGUGUGUUGGAAGUGAUUCCAAGGUUGAUAAGAUCACCAUCGCACACUCCCUUUACCUUCGGGAUUAGUGUUGAACCUGAAAUAAAUUUUGUUUGGUGUUUGCGUUGAGCAUAAUAUGAUUGGAUCAUGUUUAUUGCAAUAUGGUUAUUCAUUUAAGUCAAAGAAUAAAUGUUAUUCUAUUUACAUGAGUAAAACCUUCUAUGGUCAUUGAUACGUCUCCAACGUAUCUAUAAUUUUUUAUUGUUCCAUGCUAUAUUAUAUUCUGUUUUGGACAUUAUUGGGCUUUAUUAUACACUUUUAUAUUAUUUUUGGGACUAACCUAUUAACCGAAGGCCCAGCCCAGAAUUGUUUUUUUGCCUAUUUUAGGGUUUCACAGAAAAAGAAUAUCAAAUGGAGUCCAAACGGAAUGAAACCUUCGGGAACGUGAUUUUCGGAACGAACAUGAUCCAGAGGACUUGGACCCUACGUCAAGACAUCAACCAGGAGGCCACGAGGUAGGGGAGCUCGCCUACCCCCUUGGGCGUGCCCUCCACCCUUGUGGGGCCCCUGUUGCCCACCGACGUACUCCUUCCUCCUAUAUAUACCUACGUACCCCCAAACUACCAGAUACGGAGCCAAAACCCUAAUUCCACCGCCGUAACUUUCUGUAUCCAUGAGAUCCCAUCUUGGGGCCUAUUCCGGAGCUCCGCUGGAGGGGGCAUCGAUCACGGAGGGCUUCUACAUCAACACUAUAGCCCUUCCGAUUAAGUGUGAGUAGUUUACCUCAGACCUACGGGUCCAUAGUUAUUAGCUAGAUGGCUUAUUCUCUCUUUUUGCAUCUCAAUACAAAGUUCUCCCCCUCUCUUGUGGAGAUCUAUUCGAUGUAAUCUUCUUUUGCGGUGUGUUUGUUGAGACCGAUGAAUUGUGGGUUUAUGAUCAAGUUUAUCUAUGAAUAAUAUUUGAAUCUUCUCUGAAUUCUUUUAUGUAUGAUUGGUUAUCUUUGCAAGUCUCUUCGAAUUAUUAGUUUGGUUUGGCCUACUAGAUUGAUCUUUCUUGCAAUGGGAGAAGUGCUUAGCUUUGUGUUCAAUCUUGCGGUGUCCUUUCCCAGUGACAGUAGGGGCAGCAAGGCACGUAUUGUAUUGUUGCCAUCAAGGAUAACAAGAUGGGGUUUAUUUCAUAUUGCAUGAGUUUAUCCCUCUACAUCAUGUCAUCUUGCUUAAAGCGUUACUCUGUUCUCUUGGACUUUAUACUCUAGAUGCAUGCUGGAUAGCGGUCGAUGUGUGGAGUAAUAGUAGUAGAUGCAGGCAGGAGUCGGUCUACUUGUCUCGGACGUGAUGCCUAUAUACAUGAUCAUACCUAGAUAUUCUCAUAAUUAUGCUCAAUUCUGUCAAUUGCUCAACAGUAAUUUGUUUACCCGCCGUGAAUACUUAUGCUCUCGAGAGAAGCCACUAGUGAAACCUAUGGCCCCCGGGUCUAUCUUCCAUCAUAUUAAUCUUCCAAUACUUAGUUAUUUUUAUUGCCUUUUAUUUUACUUUGCAUAUUUAUCAUAAAAAUACCAAAAAUAUUAUCUUAUCAUAUCUAUCAGACCUCACUCUCAUAAGUGACCUUGUAGGGAUUGACAAACCCUUAUCGCGUUGGUUUCAAGGAUUUAUUUGUUUGUGUAGGUACGAGGGACUUGUGCAUGGCCUCCUACUGUAUUGAUACCUUGGUUCUCAAAAACUGAGGGAAAUACUUACGCUACUUUUCUGCACCACCCUUUCCUCUUCAAGGGAAAACCAGCGGAAGUGCUCAAGAGGUAGCAGUCAUACACCCAAGGUGAAUGGUUUAUUGAAUCUCGAUCAUAGUGAUACACAUAUUCAUAAUACUGAUGCCAAAAGAGGCAAAGUUAAUAAUGAUAUUGCAACAUAUUUGUGGCACUGCCGUUUAGGUCAUAUUGGUGUAAAGCGCAUGAAGAAACUCCAUGUGAAUGGACUUUUGGAAUCACUUGAUUAUGAAUUAUUUGAUGCUUGCGAACCAUGCCUCAUGGGCAAGAUGACUAAGACUCCGUUCUCCGGAACAAUUUAGCGAGCCACUGACUUAUUGGAGAUAAUACAUACCGAUGUAUGCGGUCCUAUGAGUGUUGAGGCUCGCGACAGGUAUCGUUAUUUUCUGACCUUCACAGAUGAUUUGAGCAGAUAUGGGUAUAUCUACUUAAUGAAACACAAGUCUAAAACAAUUGAAAAGUUCAAAGAAUUUUAGAGUGAAGUGGAGAAUCAUCGUAACAAGAAAAUAAAGUUUCUACGAUCUGAUCGCGGAGGCAAAUGUUUGAGUUACGAGUUUGGCCUUCAUUUAAAACAAUGUGGAAUAGUUUCACAACUCACGCCACCUGGAACACCACAGUGUAAUGGUGUGUCUGAACGUCGUAACCGUGCUUUAUUAGAUAUGGUGCAAUCUAUGAUGUCUCGUACCGAUUUACCACUAUCGUCUUGGGGUUAUGCACUAGAGACAGCUGCAUUCAUGUUAAAUAGGGAACCAUCUAAUCUGUUGAGACGACACCGUAUGAACUUUGAUUUGGCUAGAAACCAAAGCUAUCGUUUCUUAAAGUUUGGGAUUGUGGUGCUUAUGUGAAAAAGUUUCAAACUGAUAAGUUCGAACCCAAAUCAGAGAAGUGCAUCUUCAUAGGAUACCCAAAAGGAAACUAUUUGGUACACCUUCUAUCACAGAUCCGAAGGCAAGAUUUUUGUUGCUAAGAAUGGAUCCUUUCUAGAGAAGCAAUUUCUCUCGAAAGAAGUGAAUGGGAGGAAAGUAGAACUUGAUGAGGUAAUUGUACCUUCUCUUGAAUUGGAAAGUAGCUCAUCACAGAAAUCAGUUCCAGUGAUGCUUACACCAACUAGUGAGGAAGCUAAUGAUAAUGAUCAUAAAACUUUAGAUCAAGUUACUACCGAACCUCAUAGGUGAGUACGUUCCGCACCAGAGUGGUACGGUAAUCCUAUUCUGGAAAUCAUGUUACUAGACCAUGAAAAACCUACGAACUAUGAGGAAGCGAUGAUGAGCCCAGAUUCCGUGAAAUGGCUUGAGGCCAUGAAAUCUGAGAUGAGAUCCAUGUAUGAGAACAAAGUGUGGAGUUUGGUUGACUUGCCCGAUGAUCGGCAAGCCAUUGAGAAUAAAUGGAUCUUCAAGAGGAAGACGGACACUGAUAGUAGUGUUACUAUCUACAAAGCUCAAAUUGUCGCAAAGAGUUUUCGGCAAGUUCAAGGUGUUGACUACGAUGAGAUUUUCUCACUCGUAGUGAUGCUUAAGUCUGUCCAAAUCAUGUUAGCAAUUGCCACAUUUUAUGGAAUCUGGCAAAUGGAUGUCAAAACUCCAUUCCUUAAUGGAUUUCUUAAAGAAGAGUUGUAUAUGAUGCAACAAGAAGGCUUUGUCAAUUCUAAAGGUGCUAACAAAGUAUGCAAGCUCCAGCGAUCCAUUUAUGGACUGGUGCAAGCAUCUCGGAGUUGGAAUAUGUGCUUUGAUGAGUUGAUCAAAGCAUAUAGUUUUAUACAGACUUGCGGUGAAGCCUGUAUUUACAAGAAAGUGAGUGGGAGCACUAUAACAUUUCUGAUAAGUAUAUGUGAAUGACAUACUGUUGAUCGGAAAUAAUGUAGAAUUUUCUGGAAAGCAUGAAGGAGUGUUUGAAAGGAGUUUUUUCAAAGAAAGACCUCGGUGAAGCUGCUUACAUAUUGAGCAUCAAGAUCUAUAGAGAUAGAUCAAGACGUGUCAGGGGUUUGGUGCGACAUAUGCCAACGGAUGGCUUAUCAUGGUGGGGGCGAGUAGAACGUCGCCGGUGCCUGGAAACGGGAUGAGGCGAAGACAUGCACGCCGGCGAAUCUUACCCAGCUUCAGGGCUCUCCGGGGAGAUAAUACCCCUACUGGUGCUCUGCGGGGUCUCCGUGUGAUCACUAUAGUCAAGGAUUUACACGGUUGCUCCUUGAGCUGUGUAUGGUGGUAGGAGAGGGCAAGGCUCGCUCUCUCCCUCUAUCUGGUGAGGUAUCUAACUUCUGGGAUCCAACCCUUUGCAUGGGUGCCCUGGGGGGUUUAUAUAGGCCUACCCCCCCCCCCAGGGGUACAAUGGUAAUGUGACUGGGCGCGGGCCCAGCCGUCAGUGUCUCCGUCCUCCGACUUCUCCGCCGACUGAUGGGGCCCGCUGACUGGUGGGCCACACCGACUGGUCUGGUACGGAGCCGACAGGCCGCGUCCACCGCGGGCGGGUCUUGCCUGCUGCUGAUUACUGUAGCCGUGCUCCUGAUGAUGCAAGCUUGGUCAUGGGGUCGUGGCAACAGCCCCGCCGCCUGGCGGGCGAUCACUGUGGCCACUCCCCAUCUCUUCUUGAUUAAUGGCGCGUGGGCCCGGGGGAGGGCUCGGCCGACUCCCCUGGGCCGACUCCCGUUGGGUCCGACUGGCGAUGCCCCUGCCGUCUCCCGAGGUCUUGCUGGCUGGUGGGCCCUGCUGCCUCCAGGCCAUACAGACAAGCCGUCGUGGGCACAGGACUAGGAACAGUGAUGCUGAUGUCAGGGCCGGCUGGGCAACAGUGCCACACCGCGGGGAGAUCUUCCCAAGUACGGCGCGCUGUAGCCAUGCCUGCCCUUAGUAAGGGGCGGGGAGUGGGCUUUAUUGUAGCCACACCCCUGCCCCGUCCCUCUCGAUGAGGUCACGGUUUGUUGGAGUCACCGGCCGACUCCCUAAAGCCGGCUUCUCUGGAAGUCGUCCCUGGGACUCGGCCGUGGGCAGUCGGCCGCCUUGCCGUAGACUCCCCAGGAGGUGGCUCUUCGCCCUGUGGUCUUGAGGGGCGCAGCCUGCCCCGAUAUCUUGAAAGGUCGCGAGGCUCGGGUUGGCCUACCCGUGGCCCAUUACUCCGACAAGAUGCUUGAUAAUUUUUUUCAAUGAGUACAUACCUUGACAAGAUUUUGAAGUAGUUGAAAAAGGAAUAGUCAAAGAAAGAGUUCUUGCCUAUGUUGCAAGGUGUGAACCUGAGUAAAGACUCAAAACCCGACCAUGGCAGAAAAUAGAAAGAGAAUGAGAAGUCAUUCCCUAUGCCUCAGUCAUAGGUUCUAUAAAGUAUGCUAUGUUGUGUACCAGACCUAUUGUGUACCUCACCACGAGUUUGGCAAAAGGGUACAAUAGUGAUCCAGGAGUGGAUCACUAGACAACGUUCAAAAUUAUCCUUAGUGGAAUAAGGACAUGUUUCUCGGUUAUGGAGGUGACAAAAAAAAUCGUUGUAAAGGGUUACGUCGAUGCAAGCUUUGACACUGAUCCAGAUUACUCUAAGUCUCAAUUUGGAUACAUAUUGAAAGUGGGAGCAAUUAGCUAGAGUAGCUCCGUGCAGAGUAUUGUAGACAUAGAAAAUUUGCAAAAUACAUCUGGAUCUGAAUGUGGCAGACCCAUUGACUAAACUUCUCUCACAAGCAAAACAUGACCACACCUUAGUGCUCUUUGGGUGUUAAUCACAUAGCAAUGUGAACUAGAUUAUUGACUCUAGUAAACCCUUUGGGUGUUGGUCACAUGGUGAGGGAGUCCUGGAUUAGGGGGUCUCCGGACAGCCGGACUAUAUCCUUUGGCCGGACUGUUGGACUAUGAAGAUACAAGAUUAAAGACUUCGUCCCGUGUCCGGAUGGGACUCUCCUUGGCGUGGAAGGCAAGCUAAGCAAUACGGAUAUGUAGAUCUUCUCCCUUGUAACCGACCUUGUGUAACCCUAGCCCCCUCCGGUGUCUAUAUAAACUGGAGGGUUUAGUCCGUAGGACAACAUACAAUCAUACCAUAGGCUAGCUUCUAGGGUUAGCCUCUACGAUCUCGUGGUAGAUCAACUCUUGUAAUACUCAUAUCAUCAAGAACAAUCAAGUAGGAAGUAGGGUAUUACCUCCAUCAAGAGGGCCCGAACUUGGGUAAACAUCUUGUCCCCCGCCUCCUGUUACCAUCCGCCUUAGACGCAUAGUUCGGUACCCCCUACCCGAGAUCCGUCGGUUUUGACACCGACAUUGGUGCUUUCAUUGAGAGUUCCACUGUGUCGUCACCAUAAGGCUUGAUGGCUGCUUCGAUCAUCGGUAGCGAUGCGGUCCAGGGUGAGGUUUUCCUCCCCGGACAGAUCUUUGUAUUCGGCGGCGGCGCACUGCGGGCCAAUUCGCUUGGCCAUCUGGAACAGAUCGAGAGCUACGCCCCUGGCCAUCAGGUUAGAUUCGGAAACUUGAACUACACGACCGAUAUCCGUGGAGACUUGAUCUUCGACGGAUUUGAGUCCAUGUCAGGUGUGCCGCACAUUCACGACGAGCAUAACAUAACUCUGCUGUCGGACAGUAUUCGGGAGAUCGCAUCUACAACUACUCCGGCCGUCAAUCCGGAGCAAAUCGCGCCAUCCGAGAGCGGAGGGAUAGACCCCGCCACGGAGGCCGCGCUCUCAGCAGCGAUAGAGACGGAUGCCGACUUCACCCCUUACGAGAGCCGUGUCACCGAACCACUGGAUUCAUCCCCGGCCACGGACUCCGAGUCACUUACAUAUGUGCCCGUCGAACCCGACUGGGCGCCGAUCAUGGAGUUCACCUCCGCGGAUAUGUUUCAGCACUCACCUUUCGGCGAUGUGCUAAAUUCAUUAAGGUCUCUCUCCUUGUCAGGAGAACCUUGGCCGAACUAUGUCCGGCUAGAAUGGGAUGCGGACGACGAAGGAAUUCGCUGCCCACCCACCACCCACUUAGUAGCCACUUUCGACGAUUUAACCGACAUGCUCGACUUUGACUCCGAAGACUUCGACUGUAUGGACGACGAUGCAGGAGACGAACAGGAACCACCAUCCACAGGGCGCUGGACCGCCACCUCAGCAUAUGAUAUAUACAUGGUGGACACCCCCAAAGAAGGCAAUGGCGACGAGACAGCGGAGGAUGACCCCUCCAAGAAGCAACCCAAGCGACGACGUCAGCGGCGCCGCUCUAAGUCCCGCCACAGCAAAAGUAGUGAUACCGGCACAGGAGAUAAUAACACUUCGGAUAGUGCCGAAGACAACAACAAUCCCCUCCAGCACGAUGCAGAGCCGGAGGACGAACAAGCUAGCCCUCCAGAGUGGGCAGCAGAUGGAGAACCGGAGGAGGACAAUUACAUGCCUCUCUCCGAAGACGAGGCGAGCCUCGGCGGCAAAGAAUUUAUCGUGCCUGCGGACCCCGUCAAGCAAGAGCGCUUCAAGCGCCGGCUUAUGGCCAUGGCAAAUAGCCUGAAGAAAAAGCAGCAACAACUUCAAGCUGAUCAAGACUUGCUAGCAGACAGAUGGACCGAAGUCCUUACGGCCGAGGAGUACGAACUCAGGCGCCCCUCCAAGAGUUACCCAAAACGCAGGUUGCUACCUCACCUCGAGGAGGAAGCAAUGAAACCUCAUUCACCAGUGUACGAUGCGGCUGACCGGCCACUGCGUGGCCGAGCCAGAGAGGCAUUUCAGCCUGAAGUUCAACCUGCACCCCGCCGCCACUCAAUCAAAAAUACUAAGGCCCGGGGCAACACAGGGGACCUACGAGCCGUAUUGGACAAUAAGGCAAAAAUCGCAAGGUCAAUAUACGGGUCACGGGCACGCGCGCCAACACGGGACGAUGAUCAUCGCGUCGGAUACACCAAGACUAAAUCCGGCUGGGCCGAAUACAGCAGACAAGACUCAUAUGAACUGCAUCGGGAUAUAGCCCGGCAUAGAGGCGCCGCACACCCCCUAUGCUUCACCGAUGAAGUUAUGAAUCACGAAUUCCCAGAGGGUUUCAAACCCGUAAAUAUCGAAUCAUACGAUGGCACAACAGAACCCGCUGUAUGGAUUGAGGAUUUCCUCUUUCACAUUCACAUGGCUCGCGGUGAUGAUCUACAUGCCAUCAAGUACCUCCCACUAAAGCUCAAAGGACCAACUCGGCAUUGGCUGAACAGCUUGCGAGCAGACUCCGUGGGCAGUUGGGAGGAUCUGGAAGACGCAUUCCUGGAUAACUUCCAGGGCACUUAUGUGCGGCCACCGAAUGCUGGCCACGACAGGUGUGGGUGCCAAAGGGUGAUCCGGGCAGGAGGGGAAAUACGGAUGUCUUCAUUCGUGAUACGAGGCGGAAAACUACCUUAGUGUUUGAAUGCAUCUCUGACGACAUGAGUAGAUCAGCGGACCCCGACACCUGGUGCCGCCGGGGCCAAUGAAUAUCCUUGCCUGGAACUGUCGAGGCUUGGGGUUGGACUUGACAGUUGGCGAACUGCGUAACCUGAUUAGGUCCCACAACCCAGUGGUGGUUUUCUUGAGUGAAACUAAGAAGAGUGCAGGAGCGAUGGAAAAACUAAAAUGGAGUUUGGGUUUCAGAAGUGGAGUAGCGAUGAGCUGUGUGGGCAGAAGUGGUGGGCUUUCUCUGUGGUGGUGAGAACAUGUACAGGUAUCUAUUAGACCAUGGUGCCAAUAUUUUCUGGACGCCGCAGUGGUGGUUGGCGGUAAAACCUUUAGAAUCACCGGAUUCUACGGGGAACCGGACACUGAGAAGAGGAAAAAAUCUUGGGAUGCGUUAAGAUAUCUUCGAUCACAGGAUAAUCUUCCGUGGCUUUGUGCGGGCGACUUUAAUGAAGCUAUGUUUCAAUUUGACCAGCAAGGGGAAACAUGAGAAGUUUCUCGCAAAUGGAAGACUUCAGAGACUGUGCGGCGGAAUGUGGACUAGCGGACCUGGGGUUCUAUGGUUAUAGAUACUCAUGGGAUAACAGGAGAGAGGGUGAUGCAAACGUCCAGGUCCGGCUAGACCGUGCAAUGUGUACGGAUGAUUUUUUGGAUAUGUACCCGGAGACUCAUGUUGAGCAUAUUAUCACGGAGGAAUCUGAUCAUUUGACUCUGCUUGUGCAUGUGUUGGAGACGGCUCCAACACAUAGACAAAGGGAAGCGUUUCCGUUCAGGUUUGAGGAGGCUUGGACGAAACAUGAGGACUACGAGCGCAUGGUCGUGGACGCGUGGGUUUCAGCGAGCUUGGGAGCCAGAGGUUUAGCAGCGGUAUGGGAGAAGAUCCAUCUGGUUUCAGCGGACAUGCAGAGGUGGAGCCGGGCUGUGUUUGGGUCUAUUCGAAGACAAAUAUCAAAGCUCAAGAAACAGCUUGAAGAAGCAAAGCAGAGAGCGCUAGCGACGGGUAUUUCACUGGAGGUACGCGAGAUUGAAGGCCAACUAAGAGAUAUAUAUGCGAGAGAGGAGGUAUACUAUAGGCAGCGAUCGUGUGUGGAUUGGUUCAAGGAUGGUGAUCAAAACACCAAAUAUUUCCAGGGCCGGGCCUCACGCCGAAAAAGAAAAAAUACGGUACGAGUGUCAGGACCCCGACUCAAUGUCACAUCGAUCUAGCCUGUAACACCUCAUAUCACUUUGCGGCCUCACGCACGGUAUCCCCACGAGUGUCGCCUUACCUUUGCCCGGGACCGUUUGCGCCUUUUGGCUCACGUAUAUGAUAGUGUCGCUAGCAUCCAUAUGAUAAGGAGCCCGGGCUGACAUGACUAGUCGUAAACCCAAAGUGGCACAGACUUACAGGGACAGGCAUCCAUGACCCAGCAUUGAACAUGUCGGUCAUCAGCAAGUGGGUCCGGGCUGUAGCACUGGGCUAGCAGGACUCCGGUAAACCGGGCUGUAGCGGGCUAACAGGACUCCGGUACUCAAUGCGUGACAUUUCCCCGAAGGGACAGACACAGGAACGAAGAAGGACACAUGCCGGCCAGCCUAAGUGUCCCAGAGCAGUAGCAAGCUACCAUGGCUCAGUGGUAACACUAGGAGACAUUUCCCGGUAAGAGAGGCUACUAAAGAUAAACAACUAGAUAGUCAGAUCCCACACAUACCAAGCAUUUCAAUCAUACACACAAUAUGCUCGAUAUGUGCAAAUACAACAAGGCAUCACAACAUGACUCUACGACACAAGUACUUUAUUUAAGGCUCAGAGAGCCAUACAUAACAUACACAUAGUUACGGGUCACACGACCCAGCAUUCAAGUCAUACAGUCAUAAAAACCAGCAGCGGAAGUAACUUGUCUGGGUACAGACAACUAGUAAAAUAAAAGAGGCUUGGAAAGCCUAGCUAUACUACGUGGUCCUUCACAAGCUCAGGAUCACCACCUGGGCCUUAGCCUACUCAUUGAUGUCAACGUCUACGAAGAACCCAUCAGAAGGGGUUGCAGCGUCUUCUAUAAAAAUGUAAAUUAUAGCAACAUGAGUACAAAGGUACUCAGCAAGACUUACAUCAGAUCCUACAUACAUGCACAUUAUCAAAAAGGGUUGGUGGAGUUAUUGCAGCAAGCCAGCUUUGACUCUUGGCUAGGCUAUCCUACGAGACUCCAACUUGAAAUGGUUUUGCGCACACGAGUCCGCUACUCACCACUUCAAUACACUACCGAGGAUCCACCUCCGUCUUCCUACGGAAAAGCCAUCCUCGGCACUCACACUUAUCUUGAGGCUUUUAGUAGUUUCCAUUUACUUGUCUAUGAACUGUAUAGGCAACCAAGUAGUCCUUUACUGCAGACGCGACUAUUCGAAUAGAUCAUGAUAACCCUGCAGGGGUGUACUUCUUCAUACACGCUCUCACCACUUACCGUCGUUUACACGACAUGUACUCGGCAACCUUCAAGCGGAAGCCCAAUGUGGGUGUCGGCCACGACCUACCUAAUCACCUAAGUCUCUAAUCCAGGUUUAUCGCCUAUCCAGGUUCCAUUCGCAGGGAGUCCGGCCGAGGUUUCCCAUACGGCCCCGAACGAUGUGUACAGGGUUCCCGAGAUACCUAACGGGUAGUCGGUACACCGUGCCACGUACCUACCGCAUCACAGCCCACCCCUACGGUCAGCGCUGUCCACGGCCUCCAGUAGGCUACAAACACCAGAAACUACUUGCAACUCCUGGAUAGAGAACUAGGGUGAAUAAGAAGCCGAGAGGGUCCAUUGGUUUCGGGCCCAAUGUAUGGUAGUAGCUGAUUCUUAAAUCACACAUACAGAUCUCAGUGCUUAAGGUCGGCUUCAAUGAAACAACCCACCAUGUACUCCUACAUGGCCUCUCAUCGAUACCUUUACCAAAUCGUGUUCACCACACCACCCUCACUACCGACAUAAUCAUUUCACUCUAGCCCAUCACCCAGAUGAACCAGACCUGACACGACUCUAAGCAUAGCAGGCAUAGCAAGGUAGGAACAACACAUACAUAUGGCUCAAACAACUCCUACACAUGCUAGUGGGUUUCAUCUAGUUACUGUGGCAAUGACAGGUCAUGCAGAGGAAAUGGGUUCAACUACCGUAGCACAUAGCAGUUUGAAACGCGUUGUCUUAAUGCAGUAAAUGAGAGCAGGAGCGAGAACAUGGGAUUGUAUCGAUAUGAUCAAAUGGUUGGUUGCUUGCCUGAUGGUUCGAUGCACUGAUAUGGUUCUUCGUUAGGGUAAUCACGGUACUCCUCGGAGGCAGAACCUGCCGCAAAGAACACCGAUACACAGUCAUCACCAAACAAUGUGCGACAAUAUGAUGCAUGCAUGAAACAUGGCAAUAUGAGUGUGUUGGGCUAAUGCAACUAAGACCCAAAGGGUUUGAACCAAUUUGAACCAAAGAUUCAAAUUUCAAACUCAUACAUGGCCCCUUAAAGUGUUUUAUCUUGUUCUGCAUAAAACAGCAAGUUAACUUGUUUAAUCAUGCAUGAAAACAGUACAGAUGGAUAGAUUGGAUUUUUCUGAUCAUUUUUCAUAUAUAACUUGUCUGAUUUGGAGUUACAGAUUAAAAGUUAUGAAUUUUUGAAGUUUAAACUAUAUUCUGGAAUUUCCUAUAUUAGAAUAAAUCCAGAAAUUAAUUUAUUGCGUCAGCCAUGCGUCAGAAUGACGUCAGGGUCAAUGGAGACGUCCAGGUCAAACCUGACUGUGGGUCCAGGGUGUCAGGGUAAUUAGUUUAGUUUAAAGUUAAUUAAAACUAACCCUAUUUAGUUAACAGGGCUGGGCCCCACCUGUCAUUGACUCAUCGGGGUCAACCAGGGCCCACCCGCGGUCAAAGCCAGGUCGGCUGCGCCGGCGUUUAGCCGCCGGCGAGCCCGACGCGGCGGCGGAAGUGGUUUUUGCCGUUCCGGCAACCAAACGAGUUGCGGAGGCCAUCGGAGUGGAGCUGAGGACGAGCCGCAGCUCUUGGUGGAGUCCGUUGGGGUCGGGGUGGCCGGAGUUGGCGCCGGCGACGACUUUGGCGGCCACCAGAGUUCGGCCGAGGGCAAACUUGAUGCUAGAGGGGUCGGUGAGGUGCGGGGAGUAGCUGGUUAGGUGCUAUGUGACGUGGUGAGCAUGAUGGACACCAAGUUGUGGCCGGAGGGUGACUGGGAGCACGUCGGCGACGAGCUCCACGGCGGUGGGUGCGGUUGAGCUUCGGGCGGUCACUACACAGCUCGGGAGCAAGAAAAGAAGGGAGGGGAAGAUGGUUAAGCUCACGGGGAGUUCGACGAAGCACUUGGUACGGCCGGGGACGGGCCGGAGCGACGACGGCGUUGAAGGGGAUCUCCGGCGACGGCGGUUCGGUCGAGGUCGAUGCGGUGGGCUCGGGCCUUGCGAGCGCUCGGGGCUCGGCUUGCUCGAAGGAGAGGAGGGUGGCGGAGCUCCUGGACACGGCGGCACGGCGUGGGGUUGACGGAGGGCGUGGCUACGGCGAGGGGGUGGCGGCGAUGGCAUCGGCCAUGGCGGGGGAGCGCGAGAGAGAGGAGUUGGGGGAGAAUGGAGGUGUCCUGGGGGUUCACGGCUCGGCGUGGAGUUCAUCCAUCCAGCAACGAGGCGAGGAGGUGAAGCAGGGCGACGGCCAGCUGCGUGGCGCACGCUGCGGCCGCUGUCGGGCACCUGCCUGCCUGCCUGGCCGGCAAGCAGCUCGCUGGCGCGGCGCUGGGCUGGGCCGGCAGGUGGGCCGGGUGCUGGGCGCCAGGUAAGUUUUUUGUUAUUUCUCCUGUUUUCUGUUUUUUUAAUUCCUCUGCAACUUUGUUGAAUUAUUAAAAAUACUUAGGCAACUCCUAAAAUCACCAAACUACUCCUGGUCCAUAGUUGGAUUAUUUCCAACAUGAAACAUUUUAGUUUGGAGAUAUUUGAGCAUUUGAAAUAUUUUAUAUAAUUUUAAAUGCCCAAAUUCAAAUAUCUAUGAUUUAAUUCAAAGACCCUAAGAUGGCCUAGGAAAAUGUGCACCACUUUUGGCAGAGGUUCUGAACCAAGACAAAAAUGAUGGGCAUUUUAGAAGGGCAUUUCAGGUUCAUUGAAAAAGUUUUUAGUAAACCCUAGUUGGUUUCAGAGGGGGCUAGGGGUUCUGUCAUCCCCAUUUCAGGUUUCUGAUGAAAGAAUAGACAUGAUGCAACACUCUAAUGCAUGAACUAGCUAGGGUGUGACAACUCACCCCCACUCAAAAGAAUCUCGUCCCGAGAUUUGGGUUCCUCCGGAAAGAAGGCGGGAUACUCGAGUCGAAGACGAUCCUCCCUUUCCCAAGUUGCUUCAUCCUCAGAAUGGUGCGACCAUUGAACUUUGAGAAACUUGAUAUUAUGACGCCGAGUGGUACGCUCGGCCUGAUCGAGGAUACGAAUGGGGUACUCUCGAUACGUGAGAUUAUCUUGGAGAUCAAGCGUUUCGUGGUCCACUCCACGGAUAGGAUCCGAGAAGCAACGCCUGAGUUGAGAAACGUGGAAGACAUCGUGGACUCUGGAGAGAUGCGGAGGUAGUUCCAACUGGUAGGCAACUUCUCCUCGUUUAGCGAGAAUACGAAAAGGUCCAAUGUAACGGGGAGCCAAUUUGCCUUUGAUACCGAAACGAUGGGUUCCCUUCAGAGGAGUAACCCGAAGGUAAGCCUUCUCGUCAACCUCGAAAGUCAUAGCCUUAUGUUUUCGGUCAUAUUGACUCUUUUGACGAGAUUGGGCUGUUUUCAACUUUUCACGAACGAUGCGAACUUGCUCUUCUGCUUCCUGGAUCAUAUCCGGGCCAAAGAAUUGUCUUUCCCCGGUUUCUGACCAAUUAAGGGGUGUUCGACACCGUCGUCCAUAGAGAACUUCAAAAGGGGCUUUACCCAAGCUAGAUUGAUAGUUGUUGUUGUAAGCAAAUUCGGCAAAUGGAAGGCAUUUCUCCCAUUCCAUUCCGAAUGAGAUAACAGAGGCUCGAAGCAUGUCUUCUAGGAUCUGGUUGACGCGUUCUACUUGACCACUUGAUUGAGGGUGAAAAGCGGUGCUAAAGGAAAGGCGGGUUCCCAUAGCAUUUUGGAAACUUUCCCAAAAUCGAGAGGUGAAGAGACUUCCUCGAUCCGAGUUAAUUUCCAAAGGAACACCAUGGAGAGACACUAUUCGGGAGAUGUACAAGCCUGCUAACUGACUAGCAGUUAUACUCUCACGAACAGGUAAGAAAUGGGCUACCUUGGAAAGAUGAUCGACCACGACGAAGAUAGCAUUAUUCCCUCUCUUGGUCCUGGGAAAACCGGUAAUGAAAUCCAUACCAAUUUUAUCCCAUUUCCAUUCAGGAAUAGCUAGGGGUUGAAGGGUGCCAGCAGGCCGUUGAUGCUCUGCUUUUACACGACGGCAGACGUCGUAGUUAGCAAUAUACUGAGCAAUUUCUCUCUUCAUCCUAGUCCACCAGAACCUCUGGCGUAGGUCCUGAUACAUCUUGGUACUACCGAGAUGAAUAGUGAGAGGAGAUUCAUGAGCUUCCUUAAGGAUCAAUCGCCUCAGGUUUCGCACCUUGGGAACCACUAGCCGAUUCCCAAAGUAUACGACCCCUUGAUCAUCAAUGGAGAAAUAAUUCGCAACUCCUUUCUUGAUGUUUCUCUUGAUGCGGGAAAUUCCCGGAUCUACCUUCUGUGCUUUGAUAAUCUGAUCCGUAAGGGUAGGUUUCGCCACCAUGGUGGAAAGGAAUCCUUGAGGAACAAUGUGAAGGUUAAGCUUCCGAAAUUCCUCAUGGAGAAGUGGUUGAAUUUGUUGUAACAUCAGGUUGUUACAAUAAGAUUUACGACUUAGCGCAUCAGCCAUGACGUUGGCUUUCCCUGGAGUGUAAGUUAUUCCUAAGUCGAAAUCUGUGAUCAACUCGACCCAACGUCUUUGCCUGAGAUUCAAAUCCGAUUGGGUGAAGAUGUACUUCAGUCUUUGAUGAUCCGUGAAUAUCUCGCAAUGAUUACCGAGGAGGUAAUGUCGCCAGGUUUUAAGUGCAUAGACUACAGCUGCAAGCUCUAGAUCAUGAAUAGGAUAAUUCUCCUCAUGUGGGUGCAAUUGUCAUGAAGCGUAAGCAAUUACGUGUCGAUCUUGCAUGAGAAUACAGCCUAGUCCUUGUCGCGAGGCGUCGCAGUAGAUAACAAAGUCCUUAGAGAAAUCUGGCGGUACUAGUACGGGAGCAGAAGUCAGGCGUCUUUUCAGCUCCUGAAAGCUGUGCUCACAUUGUGGAGUCCAUUCGAACUUUUUAUCUUUCUUGAGGAGUUCGGUUAGAGGUUUUGCAACUUUGGAGAAAUUUUUGACAAAGCGACGGCAAUAGCUCGCUAAGCCCAGAAAACUCCGAACUUGCUUGACCGAUUCAGGUGGAGUCCAAUUAAGGACGGCUUGAACUCGCUCAGGGUUAACAGCAAUACCUUUACCAGAUAUUACAUGACCCAGAUAGGUCACUUCUGACAACCAAAAUUCACAUUUAGAAAAUUUGGCAUAAAGACGAUGUUCUCGAAGUUUCUUCAACACUAGCCUUAGAUGUUCGGCAUGUUCUUCCUCGUUCUUGGAGUAGAUGAGUAUAUCAUCGAGGUAAACCACGACGAAUUUAUCCAAAUACUCCAUGAAGAUUGAGUUCAUUAACCGAGAAAAGGUGGCUGGAGCGUUGGUUAAACCGAAGGACAUGACGGUGUACUCGUAUUGGCCAUAACGAGUAACAAAGGCCGUUUUAGGAAUGUCCCCGUUCCUGAUUUUGAUUUGAUGGUAGCCCAACCUCAAAUCCAUUUUGGAGAAGAUUGAGGAUCCAGCGAGCUGAUCAUACAGGUCGUUGAUCCUGGGGAGCGGAUAUUUGUUCUUGAUUGUGACCAAGUUGACAGGUCGAUAAUCUACAACCAUCCGGUCCGUACCAUCCUUCUUCUUGACGAAGAGGACGGGGCAAGCCCACGGAGAUGAACUAGGUCGGAUGAAACCCUUUUUCAAGGACUCAUCGAGUUGCUUCUUAAGCUCGGCUAGUUCUAGUGGUGCCAUCUUAUAGGGUCUUCUAGCAAUCGGGACGGUUCCUGGAAUGAGGUCUAUUACGAACUCAACAUCCCUGUCAGGUGGAACACCUGGCAAUUCCUCUGGGAAGACAUCCGGGAAGUCACGGACUACCGGGACGUCCUCAAGGUCUGGCAAAGGGCUGGCGUUAAGAGAAUAUAACUGUCGCUUGGCUAUUCGGGUCAAGACAUUGACUAUCUUCCCCGAAGGAUGGGUGAGUUGAACAGUCCUAGAGAAGCAAUCAAUUUUGGCAUGAUGGGCUGACAUCCAGUCCAUACCCAAGAUGAUAUUAAUAUCUGAAGAUUUAAGAGCUAUCAAGGAUGCAAGGAAAACAAGUCUGUCGACUUGGAUUUCAUUUCCAUGACUUACCCUGGAGGUUUGCCAUUUGGAUCCCGGAGUUUGAAUUACCAUAGAGGUGGGCAUCUCACAAAAUGUGGUGUUAUGCAGACGAGCAUAGCUCUCGGAUAUAAAUGAAUGAGAUGCUCCUGUAUCGAAAAGAACAGAUGCCGGGUGGCAAUUAACAAGGAGCGUACCGAGAACGACGUUGGGAUCCUCUUGAGCUUCUUCGGCAGAGAUACAGUUGACAUGGCCACGUGCAGCGGUGGCCGGCUUGGCGUAGAACACUUUCCCUGUCGGCUUGCCACGGCCAACAGCUUUAGCAGAUUGGUUGGGGUUGGUCUGGGGACACUCGCGCAUAUAGUGGCCAGAUUCCCCACACUUAAAGCAAGUCACGGAACUGGUGCGUGGAGGAGCAUUGUUGGUUGGACCACCAUAGGGCUUGGCUGGUGCAAACUGUUGAACGGGGCGAGGCGCCUGGAAGGAUGGCCUCGGUGUGAACCUGGGUGGCAGGGCAGUGUUAGGCACCCACACGCGGCGCUUCUGAGGACCAGCACCGGAUGAGGAACCCACGUCACGGCCAUGCUUGCGUGUUGCGUCAUAAUCAGUCUGACCAGUCUCAGCAUUGAUGGCCUUGUUAACAAGCUUCUGAAAGGAUGUGCACUCAUGCAGACGGAGGUCACGGCGAAGCUUAGGACUAAGUCCCUUACGGAACCUUGCUUGCUUCUUGGCAUCAGUAGAAACUUCCUCAGUUGCAUAUCGUGCGAGGUUACCGAACUCCCUGCUGUAAGAAUCCACAGAGAGUCGGCCUUGAGUGAAACUGCAAAAUUCCUCACGUUUACGGUCCAUGAGACCCUCCGGAAUGUGAUGUUCACGGAAAGCCUCGCUGAAUUCAGCCCAAGUAGUGACAUGGUCCGCUGGGCGCAUAGCUCCAUAAUUCUCCCACCAUAGACUCACGGGGCCUUCAAGAUGAUAUGCAGCAAAGGUGACCUUGUCAGCCUCAGCUACUAGCGCAGAACGCAGUUUGUGAGAAAUACUGCGAAGCCAGUCAUCAGCGUCGAGAGGCUCGACGGAGUGGUGGAACGUGGGUGGAUGUAACUUGAUGAAAUCACUGAGUGACACCAAGUUAGUCCUCUGAUGGUGUGUUGUGUUCUGUUCAAUACGCUCCAACAAACGGUUGGUCUCCCGCUUGUUUCUCUCGGCUUCCAGCAUAACUUCGGCUAGGGAAGGAGGGUGAGGCGGGUUUGCAUUCCCGACUUCACUGCCUUCAGCCUGCUCUUGGGAAACAGGGUUAUUGCGCGUGUUGACCAUCCUAGGUAAACAAGACAAUGAUUUGGUCAGAAUAACAAGAUUCCGACAUAGAAUACAGAAUGUAAGGAAUAACUCGGAAUGCAAGAUGAUCAUCCGUAUGACAUGGUAGAUACAGAAACUGCUCCUUUUAUUCCAUCGUCAUACACACCAUACAAGGUUUAGUACAAGACCAAACAAGGUACUAUUACGGUGAAAAGAAGAUUACAUCACAUCGGAGGCACUCCGAGCUCCUAUACAUUAUUUUUCUACACCUCCGGAAGGCGGUACAAACUAGGUCAUAUCCCACGAGUCACGCAGGACGAUAGACGACACAGCUAGUACGAACUAGUGAUACUACCACUAACUCAGACCGAUCUGUAGUAGUCCUCGUAGAAGUCACCUCCAUAGCCGGGAAGCUCAACAUGAUCAUCCGGGAACAGACGAUCUCGCGGAGUUUGUGGAUCAUAGGGGCUAGGAUGAGGUCUUGGACCAACAGACGGUGGCCUGCGGGGACCACGAGGUGGGGUGAUGCCUCCUACAUCACGCCAACCCAUCACGUCUGGCAGAGCAGAUCUCACAGGAUAGAGAUCGCGCAUAUCCGAACAUCCAGCUUGCACAGCCGGUGCGAAUCGAGUCAAAGUGGCCCAAUGGUCAGCACGGGUAUUGAAAAGCUCUAGCCUCAAGGCCCGAUUUUCACGGUCCUUAUCCUCGAGCAUCUCAGCAGUGGUGCGAGUCCGUGAAUCCUCCUGAGUGGGGUCAGCAUAGAUAGCCUGGAGAUACCCUUGUGCUCCCGGAAGUGAUGCUGGCAUAUACCGGAAAUCAGAGUCCCGGAAUAGGCCAGUCCUGACUCGCAUGAUGGUCAUCAUAGAGUAAGCGGCAUCCUGCACAGCCAUCUCAAUAGUAACCCCGAGUCCAUAGGAGCAGUGAAGGGGCUCGGUGGAUCCAGGAUAAGAUGGAAAUAUCCUGACAGUGCAAAGAUACUGGCUUUGGUUAAAGUCUCGAAAUUGCUCUUCGACUGUGUACUCAGGAUACCAACGGUAUCCAGCCUCAGUCAUUACCCUGACCAACAUGGCAGUAUGGCCGGGUACAUCUAGGCAUCGAGUCAGGCGAACCACUUGAUUGAGGUCGCGAGUGGCCAUCUGAAAGCACAACCAUAAUGCAAAGGCAUUAGAAUUUCUAGCAAAAUUUCGACAGCAUAACAGCUGUAAAUGCUCAAAAAGGAUUUUGAGACAUUUGACAAAGGAUUUCAUACACACUCAACAACAUCAUAUCAAAGUUCUGGGUCCAUCCUAGCAACAUAAUGUGGUAGUAGAACUGAACUAGGCUUGUAUCCAUCAACCUAUAAGGUACUACUGAUUAGUAACACGUGAACCUGAUAGAGAGAAAAGAUUAUAAUUCCUUAACCCCCGGUGGAAGAAUAGACUGACUCAGAUCAGAAUGUCAUAAGAUAAAGGAGUAAAAAGAGCCUUAUGUUCCAACCACAAACAAUUCCCCUACAUAUUAACUAAAGAAUUUCUAGACUCAACAUCGACCAGUUUGGCUUGGAGAACCUACAGGCAGUCCGGCUCUGAUACCAACGCUGUCAGGACCCCGACUCAAUGUCACAUCGAUCUAGCCUGUAACACCUCAUAUCACUUUGCGGCCUCACGCACGGUAUCCCCACGGGUGUCGCCUUACCUUUGCCCGGGACCGUUUGCGCCUUUUGGCUCACGUAUAUGAUAGUGUCGCUAGCAUCCAUAUGAUAAGGAGCCCGGGCUGACAUGACUAGUCGUAAACCCAAAGUGGCACAGACUUACAAGGACAGGCAUCCAUGACCCAGCAUCGAACGUGUCGGUCAUCAGCAAGUGGGUCCGAGCUGUAGCACUGGGCUAGCAGGACUCCGAUAAACCGGGCUGUAGCAGGCUAACAGGACUCCGGUACUCAAUGCGUGACAUUUCCCCGAAGGGACAGACACAGGAACGAAGAAGGACACAUGCCGGCCAGCCUAAAUGUCCCAAAGCAGUAGCAAGCUACCAUGGCUCAGUGGUAACACUAGGAGACAUUUCCCGGUAAGAGAGGCUACUAAAGAUAAACAACUAGAUAGUCAGAUCCCACACAUACCAAGCAUUUCAAUCAUACACACAAUAUGCUCGAUAUGUGCAAAUACAACAAGGCAUCACAACAUGACUCUACGACACAAGUACUUUAUUUAAGGCUCAGAGAGCCAUACAUAACAUACACAUAGUUACGGGUCACACGACCCAGCAUUCAAGUCAUACAGUCAUACAAACCAGCAGCGGGAGUAACUUGUCUGGGUACAGACAACUAGUAAAAUAAAAGAGGCUUGGAAAGCCUAGCUAUACUGCAUGGUCCUUCACAAGCUCAGGAUCACCACCUGGGCCUUAGCCUACUCAUUGAUGUCAACGUCUACGAAGAACCCAUCAGAAGGGGUUGCAGCGUCUUCUGUAAAAAUGUAAAUUAUAGCAACAUGAGUACAAAGGUACUCAGCAAGACUUACAUCAGAUCCUACAUACAUGCACAUUAUCAAAAAGGGUUGGUGGAGUUAUUGCAGCAAGCCAGCUUUGACUCUUGGCUAUGCUAUCCUACGAGACUCCAACUUGAAAUGGUUUUGCGCACACGAGUCCGCUACUCACCACUUCAAUACACUACCGAGGAUCCACCUCCGUCUUCCUACGGAAAAGCCAUCCUCGGCACUCACACUUAUCUUGAGGCUUUUAGUAGUUUCCAUUUACUUGUCUAUGAACUGUAUAGGCAACCAAGUAGUCCUUUACCGCGGACGCGGCUAUUCGAAUAGAUCAUGAUAACCCUGCAGGGGUGUACUUCUUCAUACACGCUCUCACCACUUACCGUCGUUUACACGACAUGUACUCGGCAACCUUCAAGCGGAAGCCCAACGUGGGUGUCGGCCACGACCUACCUAAUCACCUAAGUCUCUAAUCCAGGUUUAUCGCCUAUCCAGGUUCCAUCCGCAGGGAGUCCGGCCGAGGUUUCCCAUACGGCCCCGAACGAUGUGUACAGGGUUCCCGAGAUACCUAACGGGUAGUCGGUACACCGUGCCACGUACCUACCGCAUCACAGCCCACCCCUACGGUCAGCGCUGUCCACGGCCUCCAGUAGGCUACAAACACCAGAAACUACUUGCAACUCCUGGAUAGAGAACUAGGGUGAAUAAGAAGCCGAGAGGGUCCAUUGGUUUCGGGCCCAAUGUAUGGUAGUAGCUGAUUCUUAAAUCACACAUACAGAUCUCAGUGCUUAAGGUCGGCUUCAAUGAAACAACCCACCAUGUACUCCUACAUGGCCUCUCAUCGAUACCUUUACCAAAUCGUGUUCACCACACCACCCUCACUACCGACAUAAUCAUUUCACUCUAGCCCAUCACCCAGAUGAACCAGACCUGACACGACUCUAAGCAUAGCAGGCAUAGCAAGGUAGGAACAACACAUACAUAUGGCUCAAACAACUCCUACACAUGCUAGUGGGUUUCAUCUAGUUACUGUGGCAAUGACAGGUCAUGCAGAGGAAAUGGGUUCAACUACCGUAGCACAUAGCAGUUUGAAACGCGUUGUCUUAAUGCAGUAAAUGAGAGCAGGAGCGAGAACAUGGGAUUGUAUCGAUAUGAUCAAAUGGUUGGUUGCUUGCCUGAUGGUUCGAUGCACUGAUAUGGUUCUUCGUUAGGGUAAUCACGGUACUCCUCGGAGGCAGAACCUGCCGCAAAGAACACCGAUACACAGUCAUCACCAAACAAUGUGCGACAAUAUGAUGCAUGCAUGAAACAUGGCAAUAUGAGUGUGUUGGGCUAAUGCAACUAAGACCCAAAGGGUUUGAACCAAUUUGAACCAAAGAUUCAAAUUUCAAACUCAUACAUGGCCCCUUAAAGUGUUUUAUCUUGUUCUGCAUAAAACAGCAAGUUAACUUGUUUAAUCAUGCAUGAAAACAGUACAGAUGGAUAGAUUGGAUUUUUCUGAUCAUUUUUCAUAUAUAACUUGUCUGAUUUGGAGUUACAGAUUAAAAGGUAUGAAUUUUUGAAGUUUAAACUAUAUUCUGGAAUUUCCUAUAUUAGAAUAAAUCCAGAAAUUAAUUUAUUGCGUCAGCCAUGCGUCAGAAUGACGUCAGGGUCAAUGGAGACGUCCAGGUCAAACCUGACUGUGGGUCCAGGGUGUCAGGGUAAUUAGUUUAGUUUAAAGUUAAUUAAAACUAACCCUAUUUAGUUAACAGGGCUGGGCCCCACCUGUCAUUGACUCAUCGGGGUCAACCAGGGCCCACCCGCGGUCAAAGCCAGGUCGUCUGCACCGGCGUUUAGCCGCCGGCGAGCCCGACACGGCGGCGGAAGUGGUUUUUGCCGUUCCGGCAACCAAACGAGUUGCGGAGGCCAUCGGAGUGGAGCUGAGGAUGAGCCGCAGCUCUUGGUGGAGUCCGUUGGGGUCGGGGUGGCCGGAGUUGGCGCCGGCGACGACUUUGGCAGCCACCGGAGUUCGGCCAAGGGCGAACUUGAUGCUAGAGGGGUCGGUGAGGUGCGGGGAGUAGCUGGUUAGGUGCUAUGUGACGUGGUGAGCAUGAUGGACACCAAGUUGUGGCCGGAGGGUGAUCGGGAGCAUGUCGGCGACGAGCUCCGCGGCGGUGGGUGCGGUUGAGCUUCGGGAGGUCACUACACAGCUCGGGAGCAAGAAAAGAAGGGAGGGGAAGAUGGUUAAGCUCACGGGGAGUUCGACGAAGCACUUGGUGCGGCCGGGGACGGGCCGGAGCGACGGCGGCGUUGAAGGGGAUCUCCGGCGACGGCGGUUCGGUCAAGGUCGAUGCGGUGGGCUCGGGCCUUGCGAGCGCUCGGGGCUCGGCUUGCUCGAAGGAGAGGAGGGUGGCGGAGCUCCUGGACACGACGGCACGGCGUGGGGUUGACGGAGGGCGUGGCUACGGCGAGGGGGUGGCGGCGAUGGCGUCGGCCAUGGCGGGGGAGCGCGAGAGAGAGGAGUUGGGGGAGAAUGGAGGUGUCCUGGGGGUUCACGGCUCGGCGUGGAGUUCAUCCAUCCAGCAACGAGGCGAGGAGGUGAAGCAGGGCGACGGCCAGCUGCGUGGCGCACGCUGCGGCCGCCGUCGGGCACCUGCCUGCCUGCCUGGCCGGCAAGCAGCUCGCUGGCGCGGCGCUGGGCUGGGCCGGCAGGUGGGCCGGGUGCUGGGCGCCAGGUAAGUUUUUUGUUAUUUCUCCUGUUUUCUGUUUUUUUUAAUUCCUCUGCAACUUUGUUGAAUUAUUAAAAAUACUUAGGCAACUCCUAAAAUCACCAAACUACUCCUGGUCCAUAGUUGGAUUAUUUCCAACAUGAAACAUUUUAGUUUGGAGAUAUUUGAGCAUUUGAAAUAUUUUAUAUAAUUUUAAAUGCCCAAAUUCAAAUAUCUAUGAUUUAAUUCAAAGACCCUAAGAUGGCCUAGGAAAAUGUGCACCACUUUUGGCAGAGGUUCUGAACCAAGACAAAAAUGAUGGGCAUUUUAGAAGGGCAUUUCAGGUCCAUUGAAAAAGUUUUUAGUAAACCCUAGUUGGUUUCAGAGGGGGCUGGGGGUUCUGUCAUCCCCAUUUCAGGUUUCUGAUGAAAGAAUAGACAUGAUGCAACACUCUAAUGCAUGAACUAGCUAGGGUGUGACAACGAGCCCUACGACGCGACGAUGGGACGAAAUGCAUGGUUGACGAGGAAAUGAGGGGAAUGGCAACGACUUUCUAUGAGCUGUUGUUUACUUCCAAGGGAUCAGAGGGAGCGCAGGAGCUUCUGGAGAUAAUUAACCCGGCUGUUACGCAACAGAUGAAUGAAAACUAGUGCAAAGAGUGACGGAUGUAGAGAUUGAGGAGGCGUUGUUUCAGAUGGGGCCAACAAAGGCCCCGGGUCCGGAUGGGUUACCUGCGCUUUUCUACCAAAGGCACUGGCCGAUGGUACGGGAGGACGUAUGCCGGGCCGUCAGGGAUUUCUUGAUGGUGUUGCUGCUCCAGAUUCGUUCAAUGCAACGACGAUUGUGAUGAUUCCGAAGGUCAACUCACCGGAGCUGCUUUCUCAAUUCUGCCCAAUCAGUUUGUGUAAUGUUCUGUACAAAAUGGCAGCGAAGGUUCUUGCGAAUAGGCUAAAGGUUAUUCUACCUGUGCUUAUCUUCGAGGAACAGAGCGCUUUUGUACCGGGCAGGCUUAUAACGGACAAUGUUUUGGUGGCAUAUGAGUGCGUGCAUGCGAUCAGAACCCGGAGACGAAAGAAGCCUUUAUGUGCAGUUAAGCUUGACAUGACGAAGGCUUAUGACAGAGUGGAGUGGAUGUUUCUUGAACAUAUGCUGUUAAAGCUUGGGUUUGCCGAGGGUUGGAUCGCCAUGGUUAUGAGAUGUGUGACCUCUGCCAGAUUCACGAUGAAAUUAAAUGGUGGGCUAUCUAGAUGUUUUUUACCAUCCAGAGGGCUGAGACAAGGGGAUCCUCUAUCCCCUAUUUAUUCUUGUUCUGUGUUGAAGGAUUCUCAGCUAUGCUAAAGAAGGCUCAAGAAGAAGGAAGUAUAAAAGGGGUGGGGUUUGGGGGCACUGGCCCCCAAGUCACACAUCUCCUGUUUGCAGAUGAUAGUAUAGUAUUCAUGCAGGGCUCGACAGAAAAUAUUCAGGUGCUAAAGAACAUCUUGGCUAGAUAUGAAGUGGCAUCGGGACUAAAAAUCAACCUCCAAAAGUCUUCAACUUUCUUUGGGAAAGGUUGUGAACAGCAGCAAAAGGAGAUUCUGAAGCACACCUUUGGCAUUGAACAAGAGGCGCUCAGUGAAAUAUGUUUGGGUCUACCAACACUGGUUGGGAGAAAUAAGGAUGGGACUUUCAAAUACUUAACGGAAAGUUGUAAAGGCAAGGUAAUGGGAUGGAAAGGACGAGGACUCUCGAAGAAAGCAAGAGAAGUACUAGUUAAGUCUGGGCUACAGGCAACACCAACUUUCACCAUGAGUUGUUUUCACCUAUCAAAGAAGAUGUGCCGGAAAUUGACUUCAAUCUCUUCAAAAUUCUGAUGGGUGCAAUAAACGGUGAAAGGAAAGUGCACUGGAUCGCAUGGGAUAAAAUGUGCCAAUCAAAACGUACAGGAGGUAUGGGCUUCAGGGACUAUGAAGCUUUCAACCAGGCAUUAUUGGCUAAGCAAGCCUGGAGGAUCUUGCAGGUAUCGGACUCCCUCUGUGCUAGGAUACUUCGUGGGAGAUAUUUUAAAGAAAGCUCAAUUAUGAGUGCAACUUGUCCGUCCGGUGGAUCAUACACUUUCAGAAGCAUCCUUCAUGGGCGUGGCCUGCUGCGAGAAGGUAUCAUUUGGCGGAUCGGAGAUGGCUCGUCCGUGAACAUCCACCAUGACCCAUGGAUUCCACGCCAAGGAAGCUUGCAGCCACUGGGCGCAGUGUUUCAACUGGGAGUGGUGAAGGUAUUGGACCUGCUAGACCAUACAGGUGCGGCAUGGGAUAAUAGUAGGAUUGAGGAUAUGUUCUCACCGGAUGAUGCAGAGGAUAUAAAACAGAUCACUGUGGGCGGCCCGGGAGUUAAUGACUAUAUAGCAUGGAAUAACACUAAGGACGGGAAGUUCACAGUGCGAUCUGCCUAUCACCUGAGGAUGAGCCUGAAUGCAGCGAGGGUCGGACGAGCGGGGCCUCCUCGUCUGCCUUUACUCACAGGGGCUGGUUAUCUAUGUGGGACACGGCAGCGCCAGGCAAGGCAAAAGUUCACAUGUGGCGACUGAUGAGGAACGGCCUGGCCACGGGUGCAGAGUUGCUGCGCCGGCGUAUCAAGGCUGGAGUGUUUUGCAUAGCAUGUGGACGGGAAGAUGGAUACCACAGAUUUUGGGGGUGCCUGCACUCCCUGUGUUUUUGGAGACGGCUUAGCUCGGAAUUGGGAAUCUCGGUGGCAAUCCCACCACGCAGCAUUGAUUCCCAGAGCAAGCUAGAGAAAUGGUUGCUGGAAUGGUUCGCUCAGGCGGAGGAGCUGGAGAGAUCGGUCAUGGUGCAGGCAGUAUAUACCCUUUGGCUAGCGAGAAAUGAUGCUAGAGAUGGACGCAAGAUUACUGAACCUCACGAAUUAUCAACCAGGGUAGCUACUUAUCUCAAUGAAUGGGCUGAGGAGCAUAAGAAGGAGGUGAGGCAAAGGGAAGCAACGGUGCAACAAGCCUGGGAGACUCCGGAGGACGGAUGGACUAAGGCCAAUGUGGAUGGCUCGUUGUGCAAGUGUAGGCAAAAAGGAGGCGUGGGGGUGGUGCUGCGUGAUCAUCAAGGCGCGUUUAGAGCGGCUUCUUGCCAGUUCCUCGGAGCGAUGGUUGAUCCGGGGAGAGUGGAGCUGCUCGCUUGCAAGUCGGCUGUACAACUGGCGACGAGCUUGGGCGCAACGCAACUUCAUCUGGAGAGCGACUCGGCUCGAGUCGUUGCGAUGCUAAAUGAUGAGGAGAAGAAUCUGUCUGCCCUGGGGCCGAUUGUGGAAGAGGUUAAGUGGGUGCGACGUAGUGCAAAUGCCGCCGCUGAUAGGUUAGCUAAGGUGGGAAUGGAAGAUGAACUUUCUCAAGUAUGGCUCUCUUCCCUGCCAGACUGCAUUUUGGACAUUGUUUCGGAUGAGAUUUCGAGUUUCAUUUCAUAAUUAAAUAAAGCGGCAAGAGAUACCAUAAAAAAACAAGAGAGACGGGAGACAGAGAAGUAAAAGUGAAUAGUUAUCCUUACUAGCAGAGUGCCCAUGCGUUGCUACGGGCUACGAUGCAUAUAAAUGAAUUGAACAAAUGAUAAGGGUCGUCUCCAAGUCUGACACUCAUUUCUCUCUCAUACGCCCGACCAUGUUCGGACGUGAAACGAUUGCCUAGCGGGCUUCUCAAAAUUCAACCGUUUGAACAGUCCAUGCUAUCCCGACCAUAUGUGUGAGAGGAAUAUGGUUGUCCGCCAUGUUAUCUUCAACACACUGACCCAACAUAAAAAAAAUAACCAUCCCACGAUGGACCCUUCUCUUUUUUAGUGGACCCUCCUCUUCCUGCUCGGUUCCCGCCGUAGCGGGACAUUGCUCGCUAGAACCCUCUCCUUUAAAAUCAAACAAUGUCCAUAUCAUCUUCACCAUGACACACUAUCUCCUUCACCCCAUAUUUCCCCAUGGACCGCCAAGGAGGAGUACCCGCCAACCGCCAUGCUCUCUGCCCUGAUCCCCCCUCCCCCUAUUUGUGUCGAUCCACCACCGCCUAUUAGGUGUAUAUGCACCCAUCUCUUAGAAAUGCAUGUUAAACACAUUUUUAAAUGUUAUAAAUAGUUAAAAAAGGACAGACCCAGUGCAUAGAAGCUCCCACACAAGGUGGGGUCUGGGGAGGGAUUAUAGGAACCUAGUCUUACCCCUGCAAAGUGCAAUGCAGAGAGGUUGGUUCGAACCCAGGACCUCUUGGCACAAGUGGGGAGGACUUCACCGCUGCGCCAGGCCUGCCCUCUAAAUGUUAUAAAUAGUUCCAAAACAAAAUUUCCCAUCUACAUCUAUGCAAAAAUAUGUGCGCGACACAAACUUUCGUAAAAAUACAUCAUUUUAUUUUGCCUCCACAAAAAAAAGACAAAUUUCAAUGGUUGAAAAUAUUGUUCCAUGAGACAGUUUUUUGUCUUUUUUGCACACAAAAAAAAAUCAUUCGAAACUUUUGGCGCACACAUAGAAUGUGAAGUUGUACAUGUGCAACAAUUUUCAGAAUUUUUUUUUGAACUUAAAAAGGUGUCUUUCGAAGUGGGUGCAGAUGUACUUGGGUUCAUCCAUGUAUUUUCCCGUCCACAGCUAGCAGCAUACAACUCAUUUUGACCGUUCCCAGAAAAAAAAAAAACAAGCUACCAGCCACACAGAAAAUCAGGCCACCAACGAUGCUGUAAGGACCAGGCCACCUGAAGUCUCCCACAAACUACAGUUCUUUCGCCAGGCGCGGCGGAGCACGCCACCAUGUCUAGUUGUAUUAAACGUCCAUAGUUGCAUCUAAUCAAGCUAUAAAAAGGAAGACACCAUCUAGCAUAUAUCGUGAGCGCAUCACAUAUAACACAAGUAUGCAUACAGUCAAGGCAUCCAAGAAAUAUGUUGCUUUUUGAGACCAACAUAAUUCAUCUCUGUGUACUAAUCAAUAGUUAAAAAAUAGCUAGAAAUUAUUUAGUCUAGCGGAUAACUGGAAGUCCAGUCUACCAGGAAGCUAAUCACAAAAACAUGAUAAAAAUCAAAACCAUAGUCUUUCUAUUCCUGGCAAUUGAUCAUCCUAUAUAGGAAGAUAUAGUUCAUAUACCAUUAGUAAAUAAUCUAGGCAUAUAGGUACAGAAGAGCCACGAGACUGAUCCGAGUUUCAGCUUAACAUCAACCAAUUGCUUACAGUCCAGAAUAGAGUCGCAAAAUUGCAUCAAGAACAGGAUCUGACACUUGCAUUGUGGUGUUUUUCCACUGUAUAUCUGACACACACACUACAUGCACUCUGCGGAUAUGUAUCCAACCGGCUAUACUCUAUGCUCACUGGAUUUUGCGGACUUCUUGGCCAUGUUAGGUAAAGAAGCUCCAUAACUGUCAUUUCGUAGCAAGAUUGCAGCCACUCCUGCCUCCUCCUAUAUGUAGCACUUGAAACCUUCACAUGAAGACUGUCAUUAAGAAAAUGGUUGUAUCAAAGUGAAUCUUGUGAAGAGAGUCAAUUCAGCUCUAGUGUUCAAUGUCACAGUGUCAGAAAGCAAGCAAUAAUAAUUCAGUUAUAUGAUUAAGCCCCCAACCGGAACCCGCGACAUGCCCCGACGCUCAGUCCCCAUCCUGCACUGUUGUGGAAAACCCCGGGGUGCCCCCAAGCCAACGCGCGAUCUGGCUCCAGCGACCAGGCACGUCCAUCGAUCGGGAUCUUGGCCAGCGCCAGCGGGUCCCUUCAACACCGCCGCCCUCCGGAAAUUUCUAACUCAUGAGAAAUGGAAACUUCUCACUCAGGAGAAAUUUUCUUUUGAAACUAAAUAAUAUAGACUAAAUUACUAACAUGAUCAAUGUUCUGACCAUGAGAUAGUUACAGUGCCCUCCAUAGAAAAAAAGAACUUGAAUCAGAGAUCGGUAUAAGUUAUAGCUCUUUCACCGUCGUUGAAGAAAAAUAUAACUGUUGCACCAUGCUAGGCACUCAGAUAAACCCCAAACAUAUUGUAUAUUUAUUAGGAAGAAACUUCAACAGUAUAAGAAAAUCUAGGGAUCAAAUGGUAAACUGUUUUAGGAUCUUGCACAAGAAAUCAGUAAAACUUUUAUGUAGGAUCUGUUGAACUGAUGAGUUCAAUCAUUGUAUUUGGAAUAUGAUAUCAUAUAUAGUAACUCAUUGCCUGCUAUCAAUACAAGAAACCUCACAUGAAGCAUAUGACAAGGUUUAUCAAACAAGCAAGUAGGAUUAACAUCCAGAAAAUUACAUCAAGAUGGAAGCUUUCUAUUUAGUAGACAGGUAGUUGAUGGGAUGUUACCUGCAGGACCUUGGUCUUUUCUCCUCCGAGAUGAGCUGUGCCGCCAUGAUGGACAGUCCUUCCAGUUCCACACGCUUGGACGGCCAGUGCCAUCCAACAGCAGGUGGCGUAGUGGAGGCAUGGGUGAUCUGCACACGCACACACAUCUGCUAGGUCAAGCGCCAAGGGAGGUGGAGCUGACUGAAAAGAACUCGCCAGAGACGCUUAAAUCUGCAGUUCACCAAAAGAUUUCUACCUAAUAUCCUGCUCCCAAAUACAAAGAAAUUGUUUUUUUCAAAAUAAGAGUUAUAUUAGCACGGGCACCAAGAGGAAUGAUAUUGUAUCAUCUUCAGGGCAUGCCUCACAGAAAGCAAUUUCUACAUAAGACAGGAACAUACCCAUUGGACGACAUCACUUUGAUAUGGAAUAAUGAAGAACAAACAUGAGGCAGUUAAACAUGGUGCACCCCGUAACAAUAAUGUUUUUGCAGUUUGCAGCUGUUGCCAUGACAUUUAUCCUACUCCGUGAAAGAGAAAAUUGGCAACGAUGUUUAGGUUUGCCAUCGCUGCAUUCAUGCUUAUCUUUCAUAGAAAGAAGACGACAAAACAAUUCCAAAUCUCUGAAUAUCUGCUAUUGUGUGCAUGAAAUUAUUAGCCAUCUAAUUGUGACCAGGGAGAUAUAUAAUCAGUACAUGGUGAGUUCAGCUUGUAGCGAUGCAAUAGAUACAUGUUCAGUAUGAUCAGAUCAUACAGAAUAUUGACCGAAGACGGAUCAAGGGUUGCGUCGCGGCGGGGCAUACCUAUAUAUCCUCCCCUCUGGUUCCUUCACUAUGACAAAACAUCUGUUUUAGGAGCUAUUAAAUUCCAAGAAAUUUAGGUGCUCAUACUUUCUGUCAGAAAAAUGUUAAAGGUCAAAUACUCUUGUUAGGAUCGGAUUCACAAAUAAAUAUACAUGUCUGUGCAAGAGGUGCUUCCUCUGGAUCAUAGAAGAUGGUCCAGUCAUCUGGCCAAAGAUACCACCGUUUUGGCCAUCCAUUUCUUCAAACAUCUUUAGUCAUAUUCAGAUAUACCAAAAAGAACACAACUACAGAUAAAUGGUUUCAGAUACACGAUGGGUCAGCUGCAUUUUGCAUCAAUUAUAUAUCAUAUGACAUAUGAAGAUGACAACCCUAUGAUCUACAACAAGGAUAGCUAGCAAAAUCGAACAGAGUCAAAGGAGGGGGAUUUCUAUUACCAAGGGCAUGUUUGGAUGAUGCCCACAAGAGCCCUACCAAAACGUUGGCAUGCCAAUUUUUUGGCCAUCGAAUUCGCCGCCAAGUUCUCGCCACCACGCGGUCGCCAGAAUCAUUACAGGUUGCAGCAGGUGACCAAAAUAUUGGUCGGGAUUCUAAAAUUUGGCUGCAAUCCAAACGCCAGCCCACCCCAUCGGUCAACGCCAAAAAAUUGGCAGGGCAGCGGUAGGCACUGAACCAAACAAGCUCCAAAUUUCCAGAUUAAAUCGGCACCAACUUACGUGAAUCAUUGUACAAUUAGUAUGAACUCGCACCCAAAAUAGAAAAUCUUCAAACGUGAACAGUUGAACCUUGAAGAUGAAGAACGUUGGGAUUGGAGUUGAACCCCUCCAUGGCAACGAGGAGCUGCGCAGCAGGCGGGUUUAGGCGUCGCGGCAGAGGUCAGCUAGGUGGGUAAGGAGGAGGAGGAAGACCGGCGUGGCGAGGGAUCAGGGAGCUUGCAGCAGGGACUUGGCGAGGGAGGCGGCCGGCGGUGCGUUGACGGUGCUAGAGAUGGCCGAGGACAGCGACGAGGUGGCAGCUGCGCACGAGAUCACAUGGGUGUCCGGCGAGGAGCCGAGCGGCGGGUGUGGCUGGUGGUGGCGCUAACCCUAGCGCGCCGCCAGUUCGUGGUAGGGAUGGGAGCAGGCGAGUGACGUGCAUGUGACGACAUGGGCUUUCUGUCAUAGGCUUGUUGGGUUGGGCCCAUGUGAGGCUUGGCGGAGCGGGGAUCGACAGGGGUGGGGAAGUCGAUCGACUGGAGGACGAACGAACGACUUACGAACUCGUCUAUUAGGAGUAGAGAUUCGUCUAUUAGGAGUAGAGAUUGAUGAUGGCCCCGAAGGGGUAACUGAAGGGAUGCGAGGCAACCGCCUCAUCAGGAAAAGUAGGGAUCAAUAGGAUUAAUUAAAUCCUAACAGUUGCAUUCGGGAGGGAGGGCAGGCGAUAUUGAAGAUCGAAGAGAGAUGGGAACUUGGGAAGGCAUGCAUACGCCGGCUCCAGAUGCGCCUCUUCUUCCCCAUCUCAGCGCAGGAUUUCUUCCUGGUGAAGCUCUCUUUCCCUGCAUUGUGAGCUAACGCCUCUGGGAGGCCAGAUGAGAAUUACAUUCGGCCCACAGGGUAAAGAAACCAAAAAGUUCGGACCUAAACCAACUCGCACUCGGUUCGAAAGUACGUUCAACGUACUGUGAAUUUAGCUAUCUGCAUUGGUAGUUUCACCUGGGCAGUCGUGCUACUUAAAAUCUGCGACAGCCUAACUAAAGCUGCUACCAAUCUACUGUCGUUUCAAAAAGGGGCAUAAUCGUCCAAAGUUCGGCGGCGACUGUCAUCCAUAGAGCGUUUAGGUUCUCACUAACUGAAAACCUCUUCAACCGCAAAACGCAGAUGCAAGCCACAUUGUAUAACAGAGAUAAACACUGAAAAAAAAAUAUUUCCUGGCAAAAAAAGAAGCACAGCGAAAUGCCAUUUCCUCAGAAGCAUAAAAUCCAACACAACACAAUCUAUAUGGCAGUUCCAAACAAUAGCAGCAGCAACAAAACAAUACUAAAACAACAGAAAAAAAGCAACUCAGUACUUCGGUGGUUUAUCAUGCCGUUUAUCAUGCCACCAAAAACUCUUAAGCUGAUUGGCCAACUGCAAGCCAUCAUUCAUCUGCAAUCAUGCAACCCAACAGCAAAAUUCGAACCUACGCUUCAGAUCCCCAGCAAGGAAUAAAGAUAUAGUUGAAUAGAUCAGCCAGAUUAGUUGGGUUCCAAAUAGUACUUUGAUGCCUAGUUGAAUUUCAAACAGAAAGGCCCAACCAUCAUAAAUGAAGUCAGCAGCUGCAAGGGGCCAAAGGGGCGUCCAACGAAUGGGAAAUCUGUGCACCACCAAACCAAUUGGCAACCCUUAACUGUUAACAGAUCGCAAAGCAAGAUUUGCACCUUAAUGCUUCUUCAGUAAGAAGCCCAACUAGCGAAUCCACCAUACUCAUAUCAGACACUUUGUUGACCCCUGAAGAAGGAAGAUCACGCAAAACUUCUAAAAGAACAGUACCCCUCCAGCUGGCAUGUGACUCGGUACGUGAAGAGAAUAUUGCUAGAUUUGCACCUUGCUUAUGAAGAAGCACAAUUAGCAAAGCCACAAUAACCAUACCAGGUAACUUGUUAAGCACCUGGGGAAGGAAGAUCACACAACGUCUCCAGUUGGCAUGUGGUUUUGCUAUGGGCAAGAGAAUAAAGCAAUGCUAGCAUAAUAAUAACAUAAGAGUAGCAACCACCUGCAAUUUGAGAGAAAAUGAUUAUUAAAGCCAUGAAUAAAGUAUACCAACUAACUGAAGAAAUGUAAACAGAUAGGGAAACAUACCUCUUACUAAAGAUGGCUGAAGCUUAAAAGAUCGUUCAGCGGGGAAACAACGCCCAAAGACCACCCAAAAUAAGGGUUUAGCUUGAUCACCAUGGCACAUCUGAAUUUCAGCCUCAUGAUAGAUUGGCGGCAAAGGAAUGUGAGCACCUCAUACAUCUUCAAUAACUUUCACAUGCGGAGCAACUUGGGUGGUCCUUAGUCCUUGCGUUCCUCAAGGAAGGCAGAAACUAAAGGCAAUCAAGUAAUGUUCAUAACAGUAGUGUUCACCGGUUGACCGGUAUCCAUUCAACUCUAGUUCUAUGUAGACACAUAACCCAUACAAUUCAGUAAGCCAAGAACCUGACAAGUAAAAGGUUUUGUUGUCCCUUGAACAUAUAGUAGCACAAAAAGCGGGAACAAAGGGGCGCCC
RNAcentral lists this long non-coding RNA (46638 nucleotides) under Triticum aestivum (bread wheat). Its description in RNAcentral is "long non-coding RNA (TAES_LNC001243)". The record is from RNAcentral. Lineage: Eukaryota; Viridiplantae; Streptophyta; Magnoliopsida; Poales; Poaceae.